RNAcentral lists this long non-coding RNA (70638 nucleotides) under Glycine max (soybean). RNAcentral's name for it is "long non-coding RNA (GMAX_LNC004551)". Lineage: Eukaryota; Viridiplantae; Streptophyta; Magnoliopsida; Fabales; Fabaceae. The record is from RNAcentral.
AGAGAACGAAAUUAUAGAUUGAAGAACGAAAUUUUAUUGCUAAAAUGAAAAGUCAAAACUGGAAUUGCAAAACAAAAAAGUGUCUAAGAAAAGCCUAAAACUAAAAACGAAAAUAGGAGAGAGAAGAAGAGAGAGAGAGAGAGAGAGAGACUAAAACUAAAAACGAAUAAUCGAAGAGAGAGCCUAAACUAGAACCUUGGUGCUGUUAUAUAGUUUUUCAGUCCCAAAGCUUACAAAUCUGUUUUAAAUCCAGGCCCAUAAACAAAUUAAAUUCAAAUCUAGAUAAGAUAAGAUAAGAUCUAGAUUAAAUAAUAUCUAGAUGAGAAAUUCAAAUCUAGAUAAGAUAAGAUCUAGAUUAAAUAAUAUCUAGAUGAGAUCAAAUCUAAAUAAUAUUUAGAUAAGAUAAAGAUAAGAUAAGAUCUAAUUUUGUAGAAUAAAAUAGUCUGCCCUCUUCAAGUCCAAGCUCAAUUCUGGAUUCAAGCCCAAGCCCAAUUCUGGAUUCAAACCCAAUGCUUCAUUAAUUCCUGAAAUUAGAUUAAAAACAUCAAAUUAGCUGAAUGGGCCCAAAUAAUAAAACUGCCUAAUAAAUUUGACAAUUAAGACUAAUCAGUAUUUAAAAUGGGGCAAAAAGGGUUAAGAAAUAGGAGAAAAUGAUGGCACAUCAGCGGCGUAGCUAAUCCGUGAUCGAGUAGAGAUGGAGUGCCUAGAGGGAUCUUGGGAGACCCUCGAAGGCAACACGAGGUGCCGAUUUCGGGGCACCAUUCGAUUCAUGGCUACUUCUUUGAUGCAUCCAGAUGAACCUGCACGGACGCUUCAGCGCACGAUGGAGUGGAUACUACCCACGCCUACACCAUAUCGUCUAGUGGAGCCAGUCCAAGUGAUCGAGGUGACGUCAUCCGAGGAAGACCCCGAGGAGGAUCUGGAGGAGCUACCUCCUGAGCCUGCCGUGGAUGCCCUUGACUUUCUAGAGGGUGAUGAGGAUCCACUUCCUGAGGUGGAUUCUCCCGAGGAAGUCAUGUCGGCAUCUGAGGCAGACUCUACGGAGGAUAGUGGCCCGAGGGAGAUGGCGAUCAGCGGAGGCUCUUCAUCAUAGUGGACAGUUCCAUGGAUUAGUUUUAUAUAUUUUUGAGGGUGGGUGUAUCUAGGACUGACUGUUAGGUUUACUCUUUUGUUUUUAUAUGGGUAGACCUGAUGUAUAGGAAAUUUGAUAAUUGUAUACAUGUGGCUGAAGCCAACACUGUGGACACCUUUGCUCUGGAUGACACUAUAUAUUUUGUAAAACUCCCUUAUUUUGGACAGCUUUAAAUGAUGAAUGCAUUUAUAAUCGAUCUUGUUAUUUGAAAAGAAAGCAUUAGCAAUUUUAUUUGUGAAAGAGUUUAUCGACCGUAUUUUAUUCUUUUAUUUUCAUGUGACGACCUAAAGUAAUGGCUGGUACAUUCUUCCUUUUGAAACAGCAAAAUAGUUUAGAGAUUAUGAGCGGUAAGAAAGAAAUGACUCCGAAUAGAGUUGUGAACUGACCAUUCAGGACUCUGUAGUGAGGAUUUUCCUUCUAAACCUAGUUAUGGUGAAAAGAGAAAGAAAUGAAAAAGAAAAAGAAGAAAAAAAAAUUUACCAUGGUUUUUGUUAUUUAAAUUAUUACUAUUAAACCAGUCAUUAAUUUAGGGACGCCACACUCAAGAUUAUAAAUUAUAAUCAGCAACUAAAUUUGAAGCAUCCUAAUUCCUAAUCAUAACUAAUGUAGAAACAUUAGCAAUUGUAACAUCUGCAGCAGAUGUACUAUUGUUUGUUGUCUGAGUUUGCCCCCAAGACUUAGCUGCAGGCAUUGAAUUUGGCAUUGACACAGUUGAACAUGGAUUGAGAUGGUCACAGGUCAGAAACACUAUGGGGUAGCAGUCCCAAUUUUUUCUAGGAAAGUAGCAGCAUGAUAGUUACAGAAUUAGAUUGCAAAGAAGCUGACGCUGCCGUCUGGCCGGGCUCGUGUCAUUACCCCUUUCUUNNNNNNNNNNNNNNNNNNNNNNNNNNNNNNNNNNNNNNNNNNNNNNNNNNNNNNNNNNNNNNNNNNNNNNNNNNNNNNNNNNNNNNNNNNNNNNNNNNNNNNNNNNNNNNNNNNNNNNNNNNNNNNNNNNNNNNNNNNNNNNNNNNNNNNNNNNNNNNNNNNNNNNNNNNNNNNNNNNNNNNNNNNNNNNNNNNNNNNNNNNNNNNNNNNNNNNNNNNNNNNNNNNNNNNNNNNNNNNNNNNNNNNNNNNNNNNNNNNNNNNNNNNNNNNNNNNNNNNNNNNNNNNNNNNNNNNNNNNNNNNNNNNNNNNNNNNNNNNNNNNNNNNNNNNNNNNNNNNNNNNNNNNNNNNNNNNNNNNNNNNNNNNNNNNNNNNNNNNNNNNNNNNNNNNNNNNNNNNNNNNNNNNNNNNNNNNNNNNNNNNNNNNNNNNNNNNNNNNNNNNNNNNNNNNNNNNNNNNNNNNNNNNNNNNNNNNNNNNNNNNNNNNNNNNNNNNNNNNNNNNNNNNNNNNNNNNNNNNNNNNNNNNNNNNNNNNNNNNNNNNNNNNNNNNNNNNNNNNNNNNNNNNNNNNNNNNNNNNNNNNNNNNNNNNNNNNNNNNNNNNNNNNNNNNNNNNNNNNNNNNNNNNNNNNNNNNNNNNNNNNNNNNNNNNNNNNNNNNNNNNNNNNNNNNNNNNNNNNNNNNNNNNNNNNNNNNNNNNNNNNNNNNNNNNNNNNNNNNNNNNNNNNNNNNNNNNNNNNNNNNNNNNNNNNNNNNNNNNNNNNNNNNNNNNNNNNNNNNNNNNNNNNNNNNNNNNNNNNNNNNNNNNNNNNNNNNNNNNNNNNNNNNNNNNNNNNNNNNNNNNNNNNNNNNNNNNNNNNNNNNNNNNNNNNNNNNNNNNNNNNNNNNNNNNNNNNNNNNNNNNNNNNNNNNNNNNNNNNNNNNNNNNNNNNNNNNNNNNNNNNNNNNNNNNNNNNNNNNNNNNNNNNNNNNNNNNNNNNNNNNNNNNNNNNNNNNNNNNNNNNNNNNNNNNNNNNNNNNNNNNNNNNNNNNNNNNNNNNNNNNNNNNNNNNNNNNNNNNNNNNNNNNNNNNNNNNNNNNNNNNNNNNNNNNNNNNNNNNNNNNNNNNNNNNNNNNNNNNNNNNNNNNNNNNNNNNNNNNNNNNNNNNNNNNNNNNNNNNNNNNNNNNNNNNNNNNNNNNNNNNNNNNNNNNNNNNNNNNNNNNNNNNNNNNNNNNNNNNNNNNNNNNNNNNNNNNNNNNNNNNNNNNNNNNNNNNNNNNNNNNNNNNNNNNNNNNNNNNNNNNNNNNNNNNNNNNNNNNNNNNNNNNNNNNNNNNNNNNNNNNNNNNNNNNNNNNNNNNNNNNNNNNNNNNNNNNNNNNNNNNNNNNNNNNNNNNNNNNNNNNNNNNNNNNNNNNNNNNNNNNNNNNNNNNNNNNNNNNNNNNNNNNNNNNNNNNNNNNNNNNNNNNNNNNNNNNNNNNNNNNNNNNNNNNNNNNNNNNNNNNNNNNNNNNNNNNNNNNNNNNNNNNNNNNNNNNNNNNNNNNNNNNNNNNNNNNNNNNNNNNNNNNNNNNNNNNNNNNNNNNNNNNNNNNNNNNNNNNNNNNNNNNNNNNNNNNNNNNNNNNNNNNNNNNNNNNNNNNNNNNNNNNNNNNNNNNNNNNNNNNNNNNNNNNNNNNNNNNNNNNNNNNNNNNNNNNNNNNNNNNNNNNNNNNNNNNNNNNNNNNNNNNNNNNNNNNNNNNNNNNNNNNNNNNNNNNNNNNNNNNNNNNNNNNNNNNNNNNNNNNNNNNNNNNNNNNNNNNNNNNNNNNNNNNNNNNNNNNNNNNNNNNNNNNNNNNNNNNNNNNNNNNNNNNNNNNNNNNNNNNNNNNNNNNNNNNNNNNNNNNNNNNNNNNNNNNNNNNNNNNNNNNNNNNNNNNNNNNNNNNNNNNNNNNNNNNNNNNNNNNNNNNNNNNNNNNNNNNNNNNNNNNNNNNNNNNNNNNNNNNNNNNNNNNNNNNNNNNNNNNNNNNNNNNNNNNNNNNNNNNNNNNNNNNNNNNNNNNNNNNNNNNNNNNNNNNNNNNNNNNNNNNNNNNNNNNNNNNNNNNNNNNNNNNNNNNNNNNNNNNNNNNNNNNNNNNNNNNNNNNNNNNNNNNNNNNNNNNNNNNNNNNNNNNNNNNNNNNNNNNNNNNNNNNNNNNNNNNNNNNNNNNNNNNNNNNNNNNNNNNNNNNNNNNNNNNNNNNNNNNNNNNNNNNNNNNNNNNNNNNNNNNNNNNNNNNNNNNNNNNNNNNNNNNNNNNNNNNNNNNNNNNNNNNNNNNNNNNNNNNNNNNNNNNNNNNNNNNNNNNNNNNNNNNNNNNNNNNNNNNNNNNNNNNNNNNNNNNNNNNNNNNNNNNNNNNNNNNNNNNNNNNNNNNNNNNNNNNNNNNNNNNNNNNNNNNNNNNNNNNNNNNNNNNNNNNNNNNNNNNNNNNNNNNNNNNNNNNNNNNNNNNNNNNNNNNNNNNNNNNNNNNNNNNNNNNNNNNNNNNNNNNNNNNNNNNNNNNNNNNNNNNNNNNNNNNNNNNNNNNNNNNNNNNNNNNNNNNNNNNNNNNNNNNNNNNNNNNNNNNNNNNNNNNNNNNNNNNNNNNNNNNNNNNNNNNNNNNNNNNNNNNNNNNNNNNNNNNNNNNNNNNNNNNNNNNNNNNNNNNNNNNNNNNNNNNNNNNNNNNNNNNNNNNNNNNNNNNNNNNNNNNNNNNNNNNNNNNNNNNNNNNNNNNNNNNNNNNNNNNNNNNNNNNNNNNNNNNNNNNNNNNNNNNNNNNNNNNNNNNNNNNNNNNNNNNNNNNNNNNNNNNNNNNNNNNNNNNNNNNNNNNNNNNNNNNNNNNNNNNNNNNNNNNNNNNNNNNNNNNNNNNNNNNNNNNNNNNNNNNNNNNNNNNNNNNNNNNNNNNNNNNNNNNNNNNNNNNNNNNNNNNNNNNNNNNNNNNNNNNNNNNNNNNNNNNNNNNNNNNNNNNNNNNNNNNNNNNNNNNNNNNNNNNNNNNNNNNNNNNNNNNNNNNNNNNNNNNNNNNNNNNNNNNNNNNNNNNNNNNNNNNNNNNNNNNNNNNNNNNNNNNNNNNNNNNNNNNNNNNNNNNNNNNNNNNNNNNNNNNNNNNNNNNNNNNNNNNNNNNNNNNNNNNNNNNNNNNNNNNNNNNNNNNNNNNNNNNNNNNNNNNNNNNNNNNNNNNNNNNNNNNNNNNNNGGGGCCAUUGAAGCGGUUGGAAGGGAGCGAGAUGACUCGGAGCUUGGUGAGUCGGUCGAGUUGGGGAGGGAUGGGGCCGGUGACUAUUCCGGGGGAGAGGAUGAGCUGAGUCAACUCGGUGAGUUGGGAGAUUGACUCGGCGGGGAGGGUGCCAGCGAGUGGGAGGGAGGUGGUGCCGAGGGAGAGGAUGGUGACGCGGGAGAGGAAGCACGUGACGCCGGAGAAGGAGGAGCAGGGAUCAGGUGCGGUGAGGUUCCACGUGGAGAAGAAUGACUUCGUGGGUGAGACUUCGGUGAGGGUGUUCUUGAUGGAGAGAAGAGCUUUGAGGUCCGUUGAAUGAAGAGAAGAGGAAGAUGGGGAAAUGAGUGCAAUAAUAAUAAUAAGGAGAAGAAGAUGCAGACGCGGAUGCAGAAGAGGAGUAUUGUAAUAUGGAGUGGACAUUGUUUAUGUUCAAUUGAGUUGUUUUUGAGAGAAAGUUAUGGUGCAGAAGGUGAGGAGAGUGUGACAGACAAAGACGCAGUUAAUGAAACUUGAAAGUUGAAAGAUAGCAGUAUAUAGUGAUAAUUGAUAAAAGGGUGGAAAAGGACAUAGCGGAGCUUUUGGAGCCUUGGGAUUGAUUUUAAAAGCUUGCUGCCUUUCGUUUUCCAUUUUUUUUUUUUUGCUUUCAAAUAAAAAAUUGUCGGUAUUUAUUUAAGAAAGAAAAUGGCUACAAUUGAUUCUGAUCGAGUCAAGAAAAUUUGGAGCUUUAAUUUUUGCCGAUUAUUAUUAUUAGUGUAAAAUUUUUAUUUCAAUUACACAUUAUUUUUAAUAUGAUUUUUAAGGAUAUUAUUUAAAAAAUAAUAAAUCUAUUAUAUAUGUUAAUUUAUAAUUAAAUAAUAAUAUACAUAUUUUUAUGAAGGUAAUAAUUUUUAUGAAUCUAUUAAUAUAUAGAUUAUUUACUCUUAAAUUUAUAUAAUUAAGGGAAUAAAAUACUGCCAGUGGUAUUUUUUAGCAUUUUGUUACUAGGGAUAAUCUAGGAAUUAUCGAUUAAUGUUAGUCUAGUUGCAAUAACACUAGGGAUUCUGAUAGCCUUUUUAAAAAUCUUUUUUACAAUAAAUAUUUAAUAUUUUAUGAAGUAGGAACGUAAUAGAAAAUUUAAAGAAAAAGAAAAGUGAAACAAAAUAAUGAGGAAUAUAAAAGAACAUAUGACUCACACCUAAAUUGUAAUUAAAUAGUUAAAAAAAGUUAAUUGUAUCCAAAAAAUAAUAUUAUAUAUUGGUACCCAAAAAAUAAUAUAAGUUUAUAUAUAUAUAUAUAGACCGACCUACGGCCUAUCAUGCUUUGUAAUAAGUCUAAGUCUGGUCUAUUUGAUUUAAUAGAUUUUUAAAAAAGUUUGAGUCUAACCUCUUAAUUAAAUAGGACAGUUCAGACCAGACUUUAUGUAGGUCAGGUCGUAGGUCCCUGUAGACCGAUCUGACCUAUUCUCACCCCUAAAUAGCACUACUAAAUUAGUUUGAGAGGACAAUUGUUUUGUUUUUCUUUUAGUUUUUUAUUGUUGUCGUUUUGGAUAUGAAUAUUUAAGUUGAAAUCUUAUUUAUUGAACCCGAUAACACUGACCAGAGUGAAGGAGAUUGGUUUUGUUACUAUAGGAGUAGUGUUAGAUGUCGGUGGUGACGAGUGAGAGGGUGAGGGUGAGGGUGAGGGUGAGGGUGAGGGUGGGUAGUGUGGUUGUGUGUGAAGGAAUGAAUGAAGCAGAGAGAGAGGGCUCAUGCAUUGUGACUGAAAUUGGAGAAGUGAGGUGGGUCCCACUCCCAAGAUUUGUGCAGGGGAAUUAACUUACUGCGUUGCAUUAAUGAACCAACAGAUAAGAUAGCUCCGGAAAUCAGAAUCUACAUAGCUGCUUCAAUAACGCCUAUAGUUACCGAAGAAAACAUCAUUGAGAGCAUACUUCUCAAAUGUAGUCUGGUCAUUGAUCCGGCAAGGUAAGGGAUUAGUAGAUUAGUGGUCUAAUAAUGGGUGUGUUAAAAAUUUAAAAUUAUAGUGGUCUAAUAAUGGGUGUGUUAAAAAUUUAAAAUUAUAGUGGUCUAAUAAUGGGUGUGUUAAAAAUUUAAAAUUAUAGUGGUCUAAUAAUGGGUGUGUUAAAAAUUUAAAAUUAUAUAUGCAUUUAUAAGUAUAUAAUUAUCAUUAUUUGAGUAAAAAAAAUCUAUUCAUAUUUUAAAAUAACAAUUAAUAAUAAUAAUAAAAAUUAAAAUAACAUUGUAGAGGUGGUUUAUAUUUUUUUUAUAAAAUCGAUCGGGUCAAAUCAGUUCAAUCGAAAUCCAAUAUUUAACUGGCUGAGUUUGACCGGAUCAAUUGUCUAACCCAUGCAAUUGUAAAAUCAAUUUAGUUAGGUUAUUAGAUUUUAGUUAGACAGAUCCGACCGACGGGACUAAUCUGGAUUUCACAAUGAUUAAGAAAAAGUUUUUAUAGAUCGAAAAGAAGGAAGUAUAUUUUGUUCAUAAAUGUUAACCUGUGUUGUUAAAAGUUUUUUUUUAAGAAAUUAAGGAAUAAAUUUUUUAUUAAGAUAAGAAAAAUUAUAUUAUUUAUGAUUUUUUAAGGAUCUUUACACUAAAUAUUUUUUAUUUUAAUUUUUUAAUCAAUAUCCUAAAAAUAUUAAUAAGAAAGACACUAUUUUGUUUUGUUUUGCACAAAUAAUCUAACCCGGCCAGGUGCACAAUUUCAGCCGUUUAAAAUUUAGGUAAUUACCAUAUACAAAAAAAAAAAAAAAGAUAAUUACCACCUAAAAAUUAGUUAGGGGUAGAACCUCAAAAGCUUGAUUGUUCAAAUUUUAAAAUUCUUAAGAAAAUAAAUGAGUUUGACAAUAAAUGGUGGAAAAUGUGGUCAAGAUAUUGAAACCCUAAGACAGCUCUCAUUUUCGCAAAUCCAUAUUUGAGGCCAUUUAACGAGUUUAUUUCGUUAAUAAACUCAAAUACUGGAGGUAAUAAGUGGCAUGAAAAAUUUUAUUCUAGUCCACAGAAUAAUCAAUGUUCGUUGCCUAAAAUAGAAAGUGGUUUUUUUUUUCCUGAUAUGAAAGGAGCCUUUAUUUAAAAAUAUUUUGUGUUCAAAUCUUUAAAUAAAAAAAAUAGGCUCAGCUGUAUCUAUUUAUUUAUUAUAGUGUUUUUUUAUAACCCUAUAAAUUUUCUUUAAUUUAAUCAACUAUAAUUUUUUUGAUAAUCCUAUAAUCUUCCUAAAAGAGUGUUUUUUAAUAUAUUUUUUUCAAUAAAAAACGUUAAUAGCUUUCUUUCUUUCUUUUUUUCCUAAAUCAUGGUAUCUUUCUGGCUUGACCUAGCUUGGGUUUCUCAUAUAUGGUUUGAGAGUGCCUAGCCCAAAGCAUAAAGUGUAUUCAGUCUUACUUUGUUUUUUAUCCAUGUCUUGUAUAGAAAUACAUAAGAAAAACUCAUCAUAUCUUAUUCCUAAAAUUAAGGGAAUCCGAUACAAUAAGAGGUAUUGAAGAUAUCAUGAUACAUAAUUAUAGCAGGUUGUUACAAUCCUGGAUAUAUAUAUAUAUGGAGAUCAUGAACUUGAUGUUCGAUUCUUCUCGAUCGGUAGUCGAGCAACCAUAAAGGAUGGACCUUUUUCAGUCCAAUACCAACAUGAAGGAUACAUAACUCUUCAAGCACAAGUGUGCAACACAACAAGAUUAGGAACGAGAAAGGAUUAACCUAAAACAAAGGAAUAGGGAUAAGUAUACAGACUAGUCCAAUUCGUUUAAGGCCCCCAUUUUAAAUGGGAUAGAUAAGUUUAAUAUGCAAACUAAAUGAAUUUUUUUAAAUUUGUAUUUAGUCCACAAAAAUUCACGGAUAGAUAGAACGGUUUCUAAGACUCAAAUAUGAAUUUGAGAAAAAUAUUUAUCAUAAAAAAUAUUUUUAGAAAGUGAAAAAUGUAUAAAAGAAAGAAAAAAAUUGACUUCAUUUUUUAAACUAAAAUUUAUCCCACUAAAAUAUACCAUCAUUUUAAAUAUAACAAAUUAAUAAAAUGAUAACCUAAAAGAAAGAUCAAAAUUUUAUCAUAACAAAUUAACAAUAUUUACAAAUUAAACGUACACAGAUUAAACAGAUAAUCCACAAAUCUAUGGAUAAAGUCUGCUAGAUUCAUGAAGGUAGGUGAAUCUGAAUGUAUAUACCCAUCCCUAUAAAGAAAUUUUAAUUGGUAAAAUAGAUUUAGAUUUAUAAUUUCUAACUAGAUCUAUUUUUAGAAACAAGAUUAAUUGGUGUAAAGAAAGAUGAAAAUGAUAGGUAGGACUAAUAAUUUUUCUUGUUGUGUGUAAGAGACACGUGAGGAUGGAUGCAAAAGUCAGUUAACUUGUGCAUUUUUAUUUCUCUGUCAAAAUGAGGAUGAAUGCAAACGCCAAAGUAGUUUUGUGCAAUCUUUCCUCUGUCAAAAUAACUAAAUUUUGGCUUCGUUUUCAUGUGAGAGUAAGAGACAGGUUCCGGAUCCCCAGGCACGUCGUCACCAAGCUAGAUGUUACUUGACGCCAAGGGAGUUCUCAAGAUUCUUUUUUCUGUUGUUAACUAGCAGGCACAAGAAAACAAGUACUAGUAUGCAUAUUUUCACGUUAUUAUUCUAUACUACCAUUACCAUAAUUAAUUGUAUAGUUUAUAGCAAAUGGUAAUAUAUAUGCAUUUAUUUUGAGUAGCAUUAUUUUUCAAAUGAAAUUAUCCGUAAAAUGUACGUAUAAAAAGUAGUAAUGCUAAACUUACUAUUUAUUUUAUGUAAAAAAAAAGACUUUUAAGGGCUAUGCUUUCUCCCUUUGCAAUUCUUAAUAUGAUCAACAGUUAAUUUUUACUUUCAACUAUAUAUUGACUUUAAAACUUUAUAAGAUGUGUUGAUUUUAUUUAAUUUGGUUAACGCGAUUCCAACAAGAAUUUGAUGAAUUUAACAUCUCACAGUACUCCAUGAUGAAUUUAAUUUCCAUACUCUUAAGUUAGUUGUAACUCUAAAAUUCUUUGAGGAAAUUAACAGAAUUUUAUUUUUACCAUCAGCUACAUCUUUUAGUCUAGUAAUGAGUAGUGUUUGAUCUAAUAUAUGAUAUCAAAUUAAGUUCACGCAUUAAUCUAAACCUCUUGGGUGAAAUCUCAAAGCUUAUAAAAGAGAUAUUCGAAAUUAAGUACUAAUGAUGUUAAAAGUAAUAGAAAGAUAAAAAUUAAGAAUAUUUUUUUAUAAUUAUCCAUUAUUACUAAAAAAAUAUUUAUCAAAAUAUAAUAUAGUAUAUUUUCAAAAAAAAAAAUAUUAUGACCUCAAGUUCGCUAGUUCGCUAUUUAGUUAAGAUCACUCUAUUUGCAAAACUAUUUUGGUGUAUCAGAAAUAAUAGGUCUCUAAUGGAGACUAAGAGACUAGCUAGAGGGCCUACGAGUACCCGUGUGUUACAUUGUUAAGAUCAUUAAGUUUGAGGCAUUGUUUGGUUUAACUCUAGUUUUAGAGUCAGGAUUUGGGAGAAAGGUAUUUAUCAAUUAUUUUUGUUGGGAAAACUCGGACUUUUCCGCUUCGUGAAGUUAAGAUAGGCACUUAAUAAUUAAAGGUAGUAAUGAGAACAUACGAUUAUAAUUCUCCAAUAUGGAGAUUCUUCCACUAUACAAAGUGAUAGUAGGGUUACAAGGAUGUAUUUACAAAAUUGACUCACUCUAUGGUGGCUCACUCAAGCUUGAGGAUAGAGACUUCUCAAGCUAUUUAUCUUCUCUCUCAGAGAGACUCUCUCAUUGGAUUGAUAGGAAUGAAGGCUCCUACCCUUAUUUAUACUACUCUACCUCCACAAUGAAUGGUGGAGAUUACUUGUAUCAUAGGGUGGAGAUUAAUUCUCUAGAAUGUUGCACACAUUCUAUGAGUCUUUACACUCUUCUACUCUUUUCCAUAUCCUUCCAUAAGGUUCCACACAUCUCUAGAAUAUUCUAGAGGUUUCCACAUUCUUCCACAAGCUUCUAGAGAGUUCUACACUACUCUAGAGUUCUCUAGGACGUUCUAAAAAAUUCUAUACUUUUCCAGAAAGUUCUAGAAUUUUCUAGAACUUCUCCAAUUAAGAAGGGAUUCCAACAAUUUUAAUGUAUCAAACCGACAUGUAAUUUAAAUAUAAAAAGUAUAAUUUACCAUAAAUAUUAAUACAGUAAUAUUCCUUCUAUAAUAGAAUGGUUAUAUAUAUAUAUAUAUAUAUAUAUAUAUAUAUAUAUAUAUAUAAUCCGUUAUAAUUGUUAUAUUUUAUUGACUUAAAAUAUAUUUUUAAUUUUUUUGAAUGAAUUCAAUUUUCAAUUUGGUCUUUCAACAAACUUUGUUAGUCAUAGUUUCCAUAAAUUUUAAAUUAUUUCUUUUAUAUAACACAAAUUUUAACAUAUUUUAAAAUGGUUUAGUAUAACAUAUUAAUAAUACAACACAUGCAUCUAGAUUUAGCAUGGAUUUAGUAAAAGUUUUUUAAAAUUCAUAUUACUUUUUUUAAAAAUAAAACGUGCACAUAAAUUUAUCAUAUCAUUAACCGAUAAUUAUUAUAAAAUGACAUGUGAUAUAACAUGUUUUUUAGGAGACAGUAAAAAAUAUGUUUUUUUAGGAGACCGGUAUAUCUCCAUGGAGAAGCAAUGCUCAAGUUGAGUAUAAAUAUUAUGAUUUAUGAGUGAUAAUUUUUUUCUAAAGUAUUUAACACAUGGAUACACAAAGUUCAAAAAAUUUGAGGCCACUAAUUAAUUAAAACAAUCUUAUAUUAAUUAGAAAUCAUUAGAAAAAUUAUAAUUUAUAAAAGCUAGAAUUAAUUAAAUAAAUAAAAAUUAACCAUAUUUAUAAGAACUAAAAAUAUGUUUUACUCAUCUAAAACAUUAUGCUUUACUCUUUUAUUUUUAAUUUUUGUAUUGUAAAGAGACAGAAUAUUUAAAUUAUAAGGUUGAGAAAUCACAUUUUAAAGUACUUUUUUUAAGGCAUUUUAAAGUACUUAUUAUCUUGACGUAUACGCACAUAAGUAUAGUAUUGUACGAAUAGCCUGCACAAAGACAUUUUGGACCAGGGUCAAAUCUCCCAUUCUAUGUUAGAUUACCUAUAACAGAAAACACAUCCCAUCCAAUAAAGAUCUCCCAUUCUCUGUUAUCUUCUUGCAAAUAUUUUAACCAUGAAGUCAUCACUUUGUCCACAAUGGCAAUUUCUACGGUGAACCAGUGUACUAUGUGGUCCACCGGUGGGGGAGGCUUUUCUAGUUAUUGGAUCUAUUUUUUUAAAAAUGAGCGGUUCAGAUUGUCUUAAAUAUGAUGAAGUGAAUAGGGAAUGCACAAACGUUAAACAGUACAAAUGAACAGUACAAGCGAAUUCUUCCGUAAUCAGUGUAGAAUUGAUUUGACGAAUAUAACCCUCGAAUAUUUACAUAAUUUUAAAUGAACCAUGAAUCUGGUUUUUAGACUAAGAUUUGGGUCAUUUUUAAAUGACCGUAUUUAAAAAAUAAAAAUAGAGGGCAAAAAUAGACUGAUGGUCGAUGGUGAAGGUAACACUUAUGGGCUUGAUGGUGUGGUGACCUGGUUUAUUUUUAAUAUAAUAGAAACCUUAAUUUAAAAAGGUCUUGAAUUUAGGUAGUUAAAUAAAAUUUAAUAAUUUUGUUAGUGUGAAAAAUAUAAGGAAAAAUAAAUAAUUAAGAAAUGAAUAUAAAUAAAAUGUAAAAUAAUUUGACAAAAGAUUUAAAUUAAAAAUUAAAAAAAAAAUCCUAUAAUUAGUUAUAAUAUUCAUUUCCUGAAAUGUUAUAAGUACUAAAUUUUAUACCUGUGUCAUGUGUUGGAUAUUGUUUUGGUCAUUGUUGUGUAUAAUUCAAUAAAAUAUAUAUAAUUUUUAUUUUUUAAAUAUGUAUACAAAAUUAAAAAAUAAUCUCAUCCUAAUAAUUUAAUUGUUAGUGUAGUUUUAGUAAGUUGAUCUUUCUCAUGAGUUAAGAGUUAUUUUUUUUUUCUACUUGAUUUAAUAAAGUAUGUUCAUCCCAAGAGUUUUGAUUUUAAAUUUUUUUAUUAGGUUAAAAAAUACGAUAUUAUAAUAGUAAUAAAAAUAAUUUUAAAAUGUAAAAACAAUUUAAAUGCUUAAUAUAAAAGUUUCUUGCUGAAAUUUGUAAGAUAAUAUAUAAUUUUACAAUAAAUCAUGCAUGAAACAUAUUUUCAUAAGUUUCUCUACUUCAUUUGAUAAGAAAAUACUUAUCCAGAUAAAAUAUCAUAUUCAAUAAAUUAAUUAAGUCACCUGUUAGUAAGCAAGAUAAUUUUUAUUUAUAGGCACAAAGGUCCUUGAACUUCUGAUCACUCAUAUAGAUAAUUUUCAAAAUUACAGUUAUUCAAAAGGUGCUAGAUAAAUAUAUUUGAAAUCAUUUAUCAAAAUUGUGGGUUGUUAGUCUCUUGUCGGGUAUUUAUUUAUCUAUUGCCUAUCUAUAACAAUUAAAAGAAAGUCAAUUUUAAAAACCGUCAAAUCUUUUUUAUUUUCAAAUUUUAAUAAUUAAUAAUUAUCUAUAAUCUAUAACAGUUAAUGAUUAAAAAACAUCAAUUUUAAAAAUAGUGGAUUGUUAGUCCUUUUUAUUUUAUAUAAUCUAUAAUAAUUUAUUUAUCUAUAAUCUAUCAUAUAUAACAGUUAACAAUUAAAAAAUCAUUGGUUGUUAGUACUUUUUUUUUUUAAAAUAUAACAAUUAACAAUGAAAAAUAUAAAUAAAGGAAUUAACCACAUGGCAAAAGAAGAAUGAGACAAAUGACAAGUAAAUGAUAGACAAAUAAAAACUUUCUAAUAUUAACUCAGAAGUAAAAAAUGUAUAAUAUAUUGAUAUUAAUGUGAGGUUCAAAUGUGUUUUCAGCCUAAAGUGAGUGUGUCUCAAGCAUUAUGUAAACCUUAGGAAAACAAAAUAGAAAUAAAGUGAUAUUAAAGGUUUGUCAUAAUUUACUUUUUGAGUUAUCUUUUUUGCCUAUUUGUCAUGACAUAUUUUAUAUUAUAUGUUUCAACUAUAUGAAAUAAAAUUACUAUUAAAUUAUUAUUGACUAUUAUUGUCUUAAAAAUAUAAUUUAGUAAGCAAUAUAACUUAUGAACUUUAGUAGUUUCUUAAUAGAAUUUUUUGUAAAAAAAAUAUGAUUAACACAGGAAUUUUUAAUUAUAAAUUUCAUAGAGAUUAUGAGUGGCAUAUGAAAUUGAUUAUUAUAUUUGUAAUUUGUGUGUUUAAGAAAAUAUUUAAUAAAUCUGUGUGGAUAACAUAUAAAAAAACAAAAGUAAAAAUGACGUUAAAAAUAAAAAAGAAAAACAAAAUAAAGGAAAAAAUGCAAGAAAGAAUAAAAAAAGAACGGAAAGAGAAAAGAACUAAAGCAAAAAAGUAAAACACAAAAAAAAAACGUAAAAGAAUUUUAUUGGGCUAACCCAAGCCCAGUCCAAAAGUUUUUCCUUAAAAAAGAGAGUUUCAGGGGUAAAAUAGACUCUUAACACAUUAUAAUAAACUAUUCUCAUUUUUUUAUUAAUAAAAAUUAAAUAUAAUAUCAGAAAAUUUAUAACACUAACCUAUCUUCUCAAAUUAACUUAGCUAAUAAAUCUCCUUAUUUAUUCUCAGCUUUUGAAACAAUACUUUUUUAUACUAUUUAUAUGGUACACCGGUGGACAAUUUGAGGCAGGGGUCCAUGUAGAAUCGUCCUGUCCAACAUAUGAAAAUCUGAAAUAUCUUCAUCCUUUCUAUCAACUAAAAUUAAUUUCCUGCUAACCUAAUAUUUCCAUUCCGGUGGCACAUGUAUUGUUUUUUUUUUUUACUAAAGAAAAACUUGAUCUUGCAAAGUUUCAGUUUCACUAUAAGAGAUUUUUUUUUUCUCUGCUAGUAAUUUUCAUAUUUCUCACAUGAUUAAAAAUUUUCAUUAAUAAUCCAGUAAAAAAUAUUGAUAAAAGAUUUAACUCUUAUUCUAAAAAAAGUUGUGUUGAGUAUAGCUUGGGGUUUGCUGUCGGGCAUUUGUGUAAGUCCUCCUAUUAUUGUAUUUCGUUGGGCCUCGAACCUUUUUCAGGCUUGUUCUUUAUUUUCCGGAAAUUUAGAGGUAAAUAUGAGUUAGAUUAGAGGCAAUUACUUAGUGCAUCCCUUUUUUGCUUGGGGCUCCUCCAUGUUUUCUAAUAUAUAAUUUUUAUCCGUCUUCUUUCUCUCUCCCACCGGCCACCACCUCCUCCCUGAACCUUCACCAAGCCACCAUCACACUUGUACCCCACGCGACCAAACACAACAACAUCAUCAGCACAUCGCGCCAUCACCUCCUUACCCAAAUUGUCUUUCUGCGAGCACCACCAUUCACCUCCUCUUCCUUACCUAUUGCACUGCCACCUCCUAUCCUAGAUUCACACGCGCCACCCAACCACGCACCACAAUCAUCUCCACACCACCCAAAUUUGCGCAUGAAACCGCCACCACCUCCCUCCACCGGAUGUGCCCCUGCACACCCUAUACGUGCAUCGUGUGUCGCAACUUCACUCUGUCACCUUCUCCUAGCCACACACGAAACCUACUAAACAUACCAUCCCACCUCCACCCAAACACCUACCACCACCACCACAUGCAUUACUGUGAGCCACAACAUUGCUCCAAACACAACACCAUGUCACACCACCAUAAUACAGUUACAAAUUGAACAAUUCAUAGUGCAUUAUCCGUAAUACAAAUGCACUACGAAUUGAGAAAUUUGUAAUGCAUUUGUACUACUGAUUGCUCAAUCUGUAUUAGACACAAGCUUUUGCUUCAACAGUGCCACCAUCCUCGAAAAAUCAUCACCACGACUUGAUCGGAGCCACCACCGACCUAGUCGAGAUCCACACAAGUGCUGCUCACUAUGAAGGGGAAGAAUAUGUAGAGAAGAAGAGGGUGAGUGAGAUGAAAGGGGUAAGAUGGAGACUUUACAAAUUUUGGGGGUGUACCAACAAAAAAAUGAGAUCCAUUAAAUAAUUACCUAGAUUAGAUUGAGUUUGCUCACUUUGUAGGUGUCUAUUCAACACAACUUGAUUGAAAUUGAAUUGGGUCCGUCUUGUCAUUAAGUUAAAUAUUUAGAAACAUAAAACAAAAAAUAGAAAAUAAACAAAAUAUAAUAAAAUUAAAAUUAUAAAAAUUGAAUCUCAAAAGUUAGAUUUAGAGUAAAACAUGAAUAGAUUCAUUAAAUAUUAGGAUUCAUUAGACUUUUAAGUUUUUUUUUUUCAAAACAUGAUACAUAACACAAUUGUUUUAUGUUCGUAAUUUUUCAAACUAAUUGAACUCAUUAAUCUACUUUAAUUAUUUUUAUUGAUUUCAAUUUGGAUUUUGGUCGGUUGAAUCCACCCAACCCAUGAUCAGUAGUAUCUUUUAUAAAUAAAAAAUGGAAAUAAAACAUUCAUCUCACCAGUUUUAGCUUCUUGAAGUUACAAGUUCUAGCAUUCUACCGUUCAACAUGCUCGGGCUGGUUUAACUAUGCAAAGAAAAAUAGGGAACUUCGACGUUUGACGGUCUAAGAGAUUUUGGUUGUAAAACUCAAUAGUAAAUAUUUGCUAUUAAUAUCAGUUAUGCAGUCAAUUGUUUUUGGAUUAUGAUGUUCCUUUUUUACAUUUCUGCUUAGCUUGCUUGUUUAGAAGAGGUAAGGUAAUCCCAUUUUAGUGUCAUUUCUUCUUUCACUCCAGCUUAGGUCAAUUUGACCAAGUUACUUAUUUCUCUCUACUUUUUAUUUAUUUAUUUCCUUGCAUUGGGAGCCUAGCACAUUACUUUCACUUCAUGGGCUUUUACUUCCCGCACCCCAAAUUUUAAAAUAUUCCUAAAGUACCCUUCUCAUAUUAUAACUUCUUCUCCUCAACCUAUUUCUCCCCAAAUUUUUUGACCUAACACUUAAUAAAAAUGCUGCUAAAAAGCUUUUGACAACAUUUAAAAAAUAUUGUCAAAUAUAAAUAAAUAUUACUUUCAUGUGUAGUAGUGUCUCCUAAAUCACUUCACACCCCCUCCACCUACUCCAUAAAUGUUUGAGUGUCCUCUCUGUGACGGUGAUUUGUCUCCAUCUCCGUCUGAUGUAAUCAUACACCGCAAGGGCAUUGGAUAGAAGACUCCAAGUAGAUUGGGCCAAAGAUCCAAGGGAAGGCCCUAGGAUUCUCAUGAGCCUUAGGGUAGAUUUUGAGCCCAUGGGCAAAGUAUGAGCUUGCUUAUCUUUGUAAAUAUUAGAAUAGGUUUUUCCUUCGUUUGGGCCUUGUAUUUUGGCCAUUCUAGUAGUAUAGGGUUUUAGCCUUGUAUUUCGUGGCAUUUUGAGUAGUCUUUGUAGUAGGGAUUUUUUUUGUAUUUUCAUGUAUUUUGUCAUGGGGGUGAGCCUAGCUAUUAUAGGGGGUGUGUAGCUAAGCUCUAGCUUCUCAUCUCAAGGAGGUGAACUUAGCUAUUAGAGAGGUAUGUGUAACUAAGCUCUAGCUUCUUUAGAAAUCUUCUUAAGGAAGCUUCUCAAGGAGGUGAGUUUAGUUAUGAGAGGGGUGUGUGUAGCUAAGCUCUAACUUCUCAAGGAAGUUUUCUCAAAGAAACUUCUCAAGGAAGUUUUCUCAAGAAAGCUUCUCAAGGAAGCUACCUAGUCUAUAAAUAGAAGUAUGUGUAACACUUGUUGUAACUUUGAUGAAUGAGAGUCUUGUGAGACACAAUUCAAAGUUCAACUUCUCUCCCUUUUUCUUCCUUCAAUUUCGUGCUCCCCCCUCUCUCUUUCUCUCCCUCUUUCUUUUCCUCCAUUGAAGUAUCCUCUCCAAGCUUCCUAUCCAAGGCUCAUCUUGGUGGUGAAGCUCCUUCUUCCAUGGCUUAUUCCCUAGUGGAUGACGCCUCCUCUCACCUCUUCUCCUUUGUCUUCCACUGCAUCUCCAUGGUGGAAAAUCACCAUUAAAGGACCUCAUUGAAGUUCAAAGAUCCAGCCUCCAUAGAAGCCCCACAAGCAAGCUUCCAUCAAGUGGUAAUCAGAGCACAAGAGCUUCAAGUAGGUGCUCCUUAAACCUCCAUUAAUUUUUUGCUUUACCUUCUCUUCUAUUGUUGUUUCUUCAUUUUUCUCCAUGUAUCUCCUCACAUGUAUUGUGCUAAAUGUUUUUAACAUGAUUCUUUAGAGUUUCCACCGAUUAAACUUGCUAUAGAAGUUAGAUUUGAUUUUCUAUGGUUCAAAUUUCUUGUUCUUGUUCUUGAACCAUAAAUUGUGUUGAGUUUAGGUUCCUUUGAGUUUUGUCUUGUUAUUUUUUGUGGCUGAAACCUAAACCAUAAAAUUCUUACAAAAAUAUUAAAGUAUAAGAAAACCUCAAAAAUCUAGAGUGACUUGUUCACCUAUUGUAGUUUUGUCAUAGAAGUCAUGUCUAGUCAUGAAACUUGUCACAUAAGAUUUCUUAUGUUGUGCUGAAUUUUAUUUUCUUGUUUCUUUGUCUAGCUCAUUUGUUCAUGAGCGUAUGAAAUUUUUUUAGCCUAUUAUUUGAUUUGAGUCAAAUCUUUCAUGUUAAUUAGUCCUUAACAUGUUCAUGCAAAAUUCUUAGAGAGUCUUUGAUUGUGAACCUUUUCUUGAACUUUUAGGUUUCCUUAUGAUUGUGUCUAUUGUGAAUUUGAGUUUUGGUGAUUGAAUUGCUGGCUCAAAUGUUGAUCCUAAGUGAAUAUUGAACUCCUAAAACUGUGGUAAACAAUCCUAGUGAGUUCAACAUACAUAGGAAGGUUAAAAGUAAGCCCAAGGCAAUCAAUAUACCAUGCUUAAAAAACAAAUCGCUGGUGCUGGCAGCUUGGACAUACAAACUUGUAAAAAUUAUUGAGAAUUGGUUACUUCGAAUUUUGAGUUGAAAUUUUUAAUGAAUUUUCUAGACAUCUGGAAAAAAGUUAUACAAAAAGAACCAAGUGAUUUGGAUAAAAGGAAAAAUACUAAAAAUCACACAAGUUGGCAGAAAAAUCAGUAUCCAGGGAAAAAAAGUGAAAGGGAAGUGUGCUUGUUCUUUUGGCUCAAAAUUUAUUCUAUAAUUGGUGCCUAUGUUAUACCAAUCUUAGUUCCGAAAUUUUAAUUGAAAAUUACUGUGAAAACAAGUGUCAAAGCUAGAGGUUUGUUGACUCUUUUUUUAUAGUUUUUUUACUCUACUCUAGAGCCAUGCUAAGUUUCUCUUUGAGCCCUAGCUUGCUUCUAUGUCCUUUUCAUUGCUUUAAUUGUUGAAUAAUCCUUGAAAAACUGUCUUGUUAAAACUCCAUUGGUUUAGCUUUCAUUUCAUUUUUUUUGUCUUUCGUUAUUGCUUCUCUCUUUGUUUCCUUGUUUGUGAGUUGCCAUAUAGGGAAUUGGAAAGGAGGAUUGGUGCCAUCCCUUGAAGAAUUUGAGUCAAGAAGCAAGGGGCCAACCACCUUAAGAGCUAUUGGACUAAGAAGCACUCCAAAUUGAGUGAAUCACCAAAGAGAGAACAACCACCAAAAUUGAGGAGCAUUUUGUAAUUUUGUAAUUUGCAAUUUACUUACCUACAUUGCUUUCAAGUUUUGUAACAAAAAGGCAUUUCAUUGGAAGUGUGUUGGGAGCCUCCAAUAGGUUACCAAACUUCUAUUUGUGUGUAAUAAUUUUAGGCAAUUUUUCCUUAGGAUAGUGAGUGUUUUGUUGGAAACCUUGAAUGUGGUCAUCCAAACACUCUUAGGAUUCACCUAGUUUACAUUUCUUGCUUACUUUCAUAGCUUAUUUCCUUUACCUUCCAUUGUCAAAUCGCCUAGAUAGCUUUCCUUUUACCAAUUAGUUUUUUACCUUAUCUUUCACACCUCUUGUAGUGUUUAUCUUGGCUAGCUUCAACCAUAGUUUCUUUUACCUUUUGUUUUUAAACCUCCAACAAGAAAGAACCACAACUUAGGAACCAACAUGAGUCAUCAUUCAUCUAGUAUUAAUGGCAAGGGUACUAGUCAUAAAGACCCUUUAUCUAGAAUCUUAGAUGAGUUGAGUUCCCUUAAGUUAUGGAAAGAAAAAUAAGAGAGAAAAGAAAAAGGAAAAAAAAAGAGUUGAAGAAAUAAGUCAAGGUGAAAGAAAGAAAAUAAGAGAGGAAGAAAGAAGAAAAAUAAUGAAAGAAAUGAAAAGAGAAAAACAUGCCUCCUAUAGUAGUCAUAACUCUUGCAAGAGCCUAAGUGAAGAACUUUGUGACUAUUACGAAGGAAGGCAUAGGUCACAUCUUAGACCUCACUCCUAUAGGAGAGAAAAGGAAAGAAAGCCUCAAGAGGCUAACGUUAACCUCCCAUACUUUCAUGGGAAGGACAAUAUAGAGGCUAACUUAGAUUGGGAAAUAAGGGUAGAGCAACAACUUAAAAGGAAGUCUACUUCAAAAUCUUAUGGCUCUUACUCUUAUCUAAAGAAAGACCAAGGUCAAGGCAUCUUAGGGGUGACACCUUCUAAGCCCAAAGAUGAUAAGGGGAAGACAAUAGAAAAUCAACCCCUUAAGGAUAGUAUGCAAGAGAAAACUAGCUCCAUAAAGUGCUUUAAAUGUCUUGGAAGAGGGCACAUUACUUCUCAAUGCCCCACCAAGAAAACCAUGAUUAUGAGGGGCCAAGACAUUUAUAGUAGCCAAGAUGAGGCUACUACUUCACCUUCCUCUAGUAAAAGUGAAGAAGUAAAAGGGGAAUAAUCUAGUGAAGAAAUCUACCCCCAAGAAGAAGGACAACCUUUAAUGGUUAAGGAGGAGUGUAAGGAGGUAAGUGUCUCCUCCAAGAGGUUAGCUAAGAAGGAAAGUCAUUUUGAAAUAAAGACAAAUAUUAAAGAAACUUCCCCUCUUGGACAACCUCCACAUAUUCUCCUUUGUAAAAAGACACUUGUUAGCACUGUCACACCUCUUGGGCUUGAGGUUAUUCCUCAAGUAAAGGAGUUGUUGGAUGAGGGUUUGGUUCGUAAGAGCUUAAAUCCUUGUGCUUUGUUGGUGCCAAAAUAGGUAUUAUUAGGCACCAAAUCCCUAAAAUAAGUGAUAUGAUGAAUGUGUUGAGUGUUGAAAUCCUCUUUCGUAAAAUUAGUCAUGCACCCAACAUUUUCAUGAGUCAUGUACAUAGGGACUCAGUAGGUAGGUUUGUUCUUAUUUUUGGUUUUCAUACAAACUUAGGUGCUCAUAUGGGACACCUUAGGUUUGUCAUAUUUUUUUUGUAGGAAUAAUCAACAUGAAAAUAUAGAAAAAGGUACGCUUUAUUGCAUUACUUUCCUUAAUUUUUUAAAUAGUGAUCAAGGGGUUCCCACGGACCCUAAGAGAAUAUAGGUCAUUCCUGAAUGGCCUACUCCACUAAGUAUAAGGGAAAUCUGGGGCUACCAUGACUUAACAAACUUUUACAAAAGGUUUUUCCCAUAUUUUUCUAUACUUGUAGCACCACUCAUUGAGUUGGUGAGGAACCAUGUUCCCUCAUGGGAAGAUCUCCAUGAAAAGGUUUUUCAAACCUUACCCUACUCUAACAUACCCAACACCACUAAUACAUAUGUUUUUAUUCUUUUUAUAGGUGUCGAGGGAAAGAGCCUAGAGUAUGAAGAACCUCGGGAUUUGAGGUCAAAUCCUUUCCAAGGUGGAGGGGAUGAUGCAAUCCUACCCCCCAAGGGUAUUGGAUAGAAGACUCCAAAAGGAUUGGGCUAGAGCUACUAAAGAAGGCCAUAGGGUUCUCAUGAACCUUAGGAUAGAUUUUUUAGCCCAUGGGUCAAGGUUGGAUUCACACUUCUUUGUAAAUGUUAGAAUUGGUUUUUCCUUCUUUUGGGCCUUGUAUUUUGGCCAUUCUAGUAGUAUAGGGUUUUAGCCUUGUAUUUCAGGGCAUUUUGAGUAGUCUUUGUAAUAGGGACUUUUUUAUAUUUUCAUGUAUUUUGGCAUGGGGGUGAGCUUAGCUAUUAUAGGGGGUGUGUGUAGCUAAGCUCUAGCUUCUUUAGGAAUUUUCUCAAGGAAGCUUCUCAAGGAGGUGAGCUUAGUUAUUAGAGGGGUGUGUGUAACUAUGCUCUAGCUUCUCAAGGAUGUUUUCUCAAAGAAGUUUCUCAAGGAAGUUUUCUCAAUAAAGCUUCUCAAGGAAGCUACCUAGUCUAUAAAUAGAAGCAUGUGUAACACUUGUUGUAACUUUGAUGAAUGAGAGUCUUGUGAGACACAACUCAAAGUUCAACUUCUCUCCCUUUUUCUUCCUUCAAUUUCGUGCUCCCCCCUCUCUCUUUCUCUCACUCUUUUCCUCCAUUGAAGCAUCCUCUCCAAGCUUCUGAUCCAAGGCUCAUCUUGGUGGUGAAGGUCAUUCUUCCAUGACUUAUUCCCUGGUGGAUGACACCUCCUCUCACCUCUUCUCCUUUGUCUUCCACUGCAUCUCCAUGGUGGAAAAUCACCAUUAAAGGACCUCAUUGAAGCUCAAGAUCCAGCCUCUAUAGAAGCCUCACAAGCAAGCUUCCAUCACCGUCUAAUGCUUAAAUCUCUUCACAAACGUUGGUUGUUUUCCGCACAGCUUUGAUAAGGUUGGUUCGACAUAAAUACUUAUUUCUCUCUAUUUUAUUUUUAUUUUUUUCCUUGCUGAGCAUUGGGUGCCUAGAAUCAUUACUUUCACUUCAUUUAAUUUCAUUUAAUUUGGAUCAUGUUACCAUUUGAUUUAUUUACUGAUUGGGCCAAUUACAAUUGUUCCCUUUAUAUUCAAUUUAAAUUAGAUUUUGACCCGUGCUUUUCACAAGAUUAACAGUUCUAAAUUUUAUAAUUAAAUUUGUAUUGCAAAUAAUACAAUGUGUUAUAUUUUUAUCUUUAUAUUCUCAUAAAAAAUAUAAUUUCAUCAUAAUAAUUUAGAUAUUAAUGACAUCACGUAAAAUGUUAAUCUUCAUUAUAUGAAAAAGUAUACUUACUUUUAUGAAUAAAAAAACAUUCAAAUAAAAAAAAACUCAUUCACGUAAGAAGUUUUAACUUUGAUUGAACAAAAAUCUUAGUUAAAAAGUUUAUCCUUUGGAGUUCAAUGAAAAUUUUCCUACUUGUUUUUAUAAAAAGUUGUUUAUCCCGUGUGUUAUAUUUUAUAUGUUAAGUUAAGUUUAUUUUUUUUUCAUAUAUUCAUGAAAAAUAUUGAUCUCCGUUUGUUAUAUUUUUUUUUCAUAUUUUCUAAGAUGAUAAAAUAAAAUAUUUAAAUAAGGAAAGAGGUAGUAAUAAAAAAUACAUUCAAAUUAAACAUUACUAUACUAAAAUAUAAUUUCAUCAUAAUAAUAUAUAUAGAUUAAUUUGACUACAGGUAAGUUGUUCUUAUUUGUAAAUUAUGUGAAAUUUCUACUUGUAUUUUAUAAGAAGAAAAAUUUAAUCCCCAAGUGUUAUAAUUUAUAUAUAAUUUUUAUUUAAGAUAUUGGCAUAUACUUUUCAAUGCAUAAAAAAAAAUCCAAGUUAAAAUCUAAAUUUAUCUUCAUACUUUCAUGAAAAUCUUCAUUCCCAUUUGUUAUAUUUUUAUUCAUACAUUUUAUGUUUGUAACAAAAAGGCCUUUCAUUGGAAGUAAGUUGGGAGCCUCCAAUAGGUCACCCUACUUCCAUUUGUGUGUAAUAAUUUUAGGCAAUUUUCCCUUAGGAUUGUGAGUGUUUUGUUGGAAACCUUAAAUGUGGUCAUCCAAACACUCUUAGGAUUCGCCUAGUUUACAUUUCUUGCUUACUUUCAUAGCUUAUUUCCUUUACCUUCCAUUGUCAAACCCCCUAGAUAGCUUACCUUUUGCCAAUUAGUUUUUACCUUAUCUUUCACACCUCUUUUAGUGUUUAUUUUGGCUAGUUUCAACCGUAGUCUCUUUUACCUUUUGUUUUCAAACCCCCAACAAGAAAGAACCAUAACUUAGGAACCAACAUGAGUCUUCAUUCUUCAUCUAGUGUUAAUGGUGAGGGUUCUACUCUUAAGGACCCCUUGUAUAAGAUAUUAGAUGAGUUGAGAUCCCUUAAGUUGUGGAAAGAAAAACAAGAGAGAAAAGAAAAAGGUAAAAAAAGAGUGGAAGAAAUAAGUCAAGAUGAAAUAGACAAAAUAAGAGAGAAAGAAAGAAGAAAAAUAAUGAAAGAAAUGAAAAGAGAAAAACAUGCCUCAUAUAGUAGUCAUGACUCUUGCAAUUGUUUAAGUGAAGAACUUAGCGACUAUUAUAGAGGGUGCCAUAGUUCACAUACUAAACUGUUGGAUCAAGUGGCCUUAGAAUAAUUAAGAAGGGGGGGGGGUUGAAUUAAUUAUGAACGUGUCAUGACUAAUUAAAAAUUUAUCCUUCUUAAUAUUACUAGAUUCAAUUAGACUUUACUACUAAGUUAUGAGAAAGUAAAGAAAAAAAACAAUAACUUAGACAAAAGUAAAGUGAAAAUAAAAAGUACACAGUGGAAAGAUAAAGAGUGUAGGGAAGAAGAGGACAAACACAAUAUUUAUACUGGUUCGGCAACAACCCGUGCCUACAUCCAGUCUCCAAGCAACCACCGGCUCUUGAGAUUUCCAAUAACCUUGUAAAAUCUUUUACAAGCAAGGACCCACAAAGGAUGUACACUCCCUUGUUCUCUUUGAACAACCAAGUAGAUGUACACUCCACUUGAAUUGAUCCACAAGAGAUGUACCCUCUCUUGUUCUCAGUAUUACAACCCAAGUAGAUGUACGCUCUACUUGUACCACAAAGGAUGUACUCUCCAAUGUGUUAAGACAAAGAAUUCUUAGGCGGUUAGUCCCUUGAAUCUUUGUAAGGGGAAACAAAGUACAUCUUAGGUGGUUAGGCCUUUGAAAUCUUUUGUUUAAAGGGAAGAUGAAGAAUCAAAAGAAUUCUCAGGCGGUUAGUCCUUUGAAUCUUUUGGCAAGACGGAGAAGGAAGAAAAGAUAGCACACUUUUGUUUUCUGCAAAAUUUCCACUUGCAGAAAAACAAUGUUUUGAAAACAAAAUUUAGAAAGCUUUUCAAUGGGCAAUGGUUAAAGAAAGAUUGUGAAAAAGGAUUGUUUGGAAGAAUAUCACAUAUAUUGAAACGUGUGCCAAAGUCAUGCUUUUAUAGACUCUUCAUGUCUGGUCAAAGAAAUCAUUGGAAGAGUUAUGACUUUUGAGAAAACCAUGUUAAGAGUUAUAACUCUUAACUUUUUCUUCAAAACUAUUCACUGGUAAUCGAUUACCACAAUGGUGUAAUCGAUUACACAAUGUAUUUUAUGAAAAUCACUUGUAAUCGAUUACUAAUAUAGUGUAAUCGAUUACACUAUUUGAAAAUCAUUUUGGAACGUUACAAAUCAUUUGAAAACAUUUUGAAAACCAAACUGGUCAUUGGUAAUCGAUUACUGCCAACUGGUAAUCGAUUACCAGAGAGUAAUCACUCUGGUAACUUAGAAAAUUUGAGAAAAUUCUUUUGUAAAACAAAACUGUGCUAUUUGGUUUUUAAAAAAAUCUUUUAAUACUUAUCCUAUAUGAAGUCUUGACUUGUUGCUUCUCGAUUUCUUCUCUUGAAUCUUGAAUCUUGGAUUGGAUUCUUGAUGCUUGAUCUUGAAAUCUUGAAUCAAUCAUUUGGGCUUUUGGCAUCAUCAAAAUUGUUGUUCAUCAUCAUGAAGCUUGCUUCUACAUAAACAUCACUCCCAAAGAAGAGAAAAGGAUAGAAGGCCUCAAGAGGUUAACAUUAGCCUCCCAUAUUUCCAUGGAAAAGAUAAUGUUAAGGCCUACUUAGAUUGGGAAAUGAAGGUUGAACAACUCUUUGCUUGUCGUUAUAUUAGCGAAGAGAGAAAAAUUCCAUUGGCUACCCUUAGCUUUCAAGGGUAUGCCCUCUAUUGGUGGACUUCCCUUGUUAGGGAACAAAAGAUUCAUGGGGAUCCUCCAGUAGAGUAUUGGAAUAAUCUUAAGGGUGCCAUUAGGAAGAGGCACAUUCCCUCCUACUAUGAAAGGGAGCUUAUGGACAAGCUCCAAAGGCUUAGACAAGGGAGUAUGAGUGUUGAAGAAUAUAGACAACAAAUGGAACUACUCCUUUUAAGAGCUGGACUUAGGGAGGAGGAAAGAACAAGCAUAGCUAGGUUCCUUAGUGGGCUUAAUAUGGAAGUGAGGGACAAGGUUGAACUCUUUCCAUAUAGGAACCUAGAUGAGCUAGUCCAACUUUGUAUAAGAGUGGAGCAACAACUUAAAAGAAAGCCUUCUUCAAAAUCUUAUGGCUCUCACUCUUAUCCAAGGAAGGACCAAGCCCAUGGAAUUUUGGGGGCUGCACCUUCAAAACUCAAGGAAGAUAAGGGUAAGACCAUAGAGAAAUACACCCCUAAGACUAGUUCCCAAGAAAGGACUAGCAACAUUAAAUGCUUCAAAUGUCUUGGGAGAGGUCACAUUGCCUCUCAAUGCCCCACAAAGAAAACCAUGAUCAUGAGGGGUCAAGGCAUUUAUAGUAGUCAAGAGGAGACUACUUCUUGCCCUUCCUCUAGUAGAAGUGAAGAUGAUGUAAGGGGUGAAGAGUCUAGUGAGGAAGUCUACCCCCAUGAAGAAGGUGACCUCUUAAUGGUUAGAAGGCUCCUUGGAGGUCAAUCUUGUGAUCUAUCUCAAUCCCAAAGAGAGAACAUCUUUCAUACAAGAUGCAAAAUUUUAGAUAAAACUUGUUCUCUCAUUGUGGAUAGUGGAUCUUGUUGCAAUUAUUGUAGCACAAGAUUAGUUUCCAAGUUGAACCUCAUUAUCAUUCCCCACCCAAAACCUUAUAAACUUCAAUGGCUCAAUGAACAAGGGGAAAUGAUAGGUAACCAACAAGUGAAGGUACCUUUCUCCAUUGAGCCAUAUAAGGAUGAAGUUGAUUGUGAUAUAGUUCCCAUAGAGGCAGGACAUAUUCUUUUACGAAGGCCAUGACAAUUUGAUAGGAAGAUCAUUUACAAUGGCCUAACUAAUGAGGUUACCCUCACCCAUCUUGGCACUAAAUUUGUGUUGCAUACUCAAACACCUUCACAGGUGACCAAAGAUCAACUAACUAUGAAAGAUAAGAGGGAUGAGGAAGAAAAACUUGAAAACCAAAAGAAAAAGAAGGAUAGUAAGGCCUUGUCUACAAAGGCCAAGGGGAAGGAAAAAGAGGAAAAAGAUUCCUCCAAGAAGAUUGUUAAGAAGGAAAAUCAUUUUGCAACAAAAUGUGAUAUCAAAAGAGCACUCCUUCUUAAAAAAUCUUUCUACCUUCUCCUAUCAAGGGAAACAUCCUUUAGCAUCUCCAUACCACUUGAGCUUGAGGUUAUUCCUCAAGUAAAGGAGUUGUUGGAUGAGGGUUUGGUUCGUAAGAGCUUAAAUCCUUGUGCUUUAUUGGUGCCCAAAAUAGGUAUUAUGAGGCACCAAAUCCUUAUGAUAGGAGGUAUGAUGAAUGUGUUAAAUGGUGCAACCCUCUUUUGUAAAAUCACUCAUGCACCCAACAUCUUCAUGAUUUGUGUACAUAGGGACUCAUUAGGUAGGUUUGUUUUUAUUUUUUGUUUCAAUACAAACCUAGGUGCUCAUAUGGGACACCUUAGGUUUGUCGUAAUUUUUUUGUAGGAAUAAUAAACCUGAAAAUAAAGAAAAAGGUAUGUUUUAUUAUGUUACUUUCCUUAACUUUUUAAAUAGUGAUCAUGGGCUUCCCAUGAAUCCUUAGAGAAUAAAGGUCAAUGACUUAACAAACUUUUACAAAAGGUUUGUCCCAUAUUUUUCUAUACUUGUAGCACCACUCACGGAGUUGGUGAGGAACUAUGUUCUCUUAUGGGAAGAUGGCCAGGAAAGGGGUUUUCAGUCCUUACCCUACUCUAACAUACCCAACAUCACUAAUACAUAUGUUUUAAUUCUUUUUACAGGUUGUCGCAACCAACUCUUCGGCGGGAGGGCGACGCGUGACUCGCGGGUGCGUAUUCCAAGAAAGGAAUACGCGCGGAGUUGCCAUCAACGUUUAUUUAAGGAAAACGUCGAAAAAAUCGGAAAAGACGUGAUCUACAAACUUUAAGUGAAAGGUUUGGGAGUUGUAUUUUCGCACGAGGAAGGUAUUAGCACCCCACGUGUCCGUCACAAGAGACAACAACCUUUAAUCCAAUGUGCAAAUGUGACUUCAAUUUAUAUUAUUUUCCCUUUGUACGUUCUUAUGUCUUUUUAUGUCUUUUUAUGCCUUUUUAUGUUUUUAUCUUUUUGUGGUCGACAAGGGAUGUUUCCCUUUGCUCCUACAUAUUCCUCAAUUGUGAUGAGAAAAUCAGACCUACGUAGUUCUUUUGUGAACAAAGCGUUUUGGUUAAGUUAUUUUUUAUCCUUUUUUGAAAGAUAUGGUUUUAUUGAAUGAAAGGUCAUUUAAGGCGUUUGACCAUUAGACAAUCUUUCGAUUCUUUUGAAAAGUGAGAAAACAUUAAGACAUUGGACCAUUAAUGAUUUCUUUACUUUUGAAAAAGGUAACAAAGUUACAUAUUGAUUUUAGGUUUUUUAGAAAUCUACAUUUAACCAAUAAAAUCGGAAAAAACCAUUUCAAGGCAUUGGACCUUUAAAAAUGGCUUUUUAGGCGUUGACAAAAAGUUUGGUUUAUGAAUUGAUUUUAGCCUUAGUUUCACUUUGGUUAUUAGUCAAUUCAAUUAAGAAAGAAAAAUCUCAAAGAGGAACGUUCGAUUGAUUUUUUUGUUUUAUUUUACUAAAAUAUUUUUUUUUAUUAUUAUAUUAUUAUUUUACCUCUUUUUGGUUUCCAACGUGGUUACGGCAUGACCGAAUGGUCGGAUUUCAUUUUAACAGAAAUUAACGGAUAUUACAAUUCAAAUGAUCGGUGGAAAUUUAUUUUAUUUUUUGAUUAGGCGAGAAAAUGACUUAAGUAAAUGACUAAAGCACGUCAAAAGGGGGUACGGAAAGUAAAUGAAACGAAAAUAAAAGUACGCGAAACAAAUGUGGACCACUAAGGGUACAUAGAAUGAAUUUAAAAGUUCAAUUUCGGGAACUUACCGGUUGAAGACCGAAGAACGACGAAGAACGAAUGAAGAACGUCGAAGAACGGUUGAAAAUCUUCGCGAAAUCACCCACAUAAAUGUUACGGAAGUACCUCGGCUUGGAUUUUCUUCACGGAAACAAUUUUUUUCACUAAUUUCAAGUGAUCUCGAAAUACCAGGAGGGCUGAACAUUUUUCUCCUUCACUCCUCCCCUUAUUUAUAGGAAAAUAGGGGAGGAGCUUGCCACCCAGCUCGCUUAGGCGAGCUAGGUUGCUUCCUCCAGAAGCAACCGCCUUUUGGAGGAACAUCCUGGAAGGCCCAAGUGGGCCUUGUUGCUAUUUGCACCCCAUUUUUACUAAGUACACCCCCCUUGCCUUUUUUUGGUGAUUCUUUUUUCGUAAAGUUACGGAAACUUAUGAAUUUCGUAACGAUACUUGUUUUCUUUCCGUAAUGUUGCGGAACCUUACGGAUUACGUAAUCAUCCCUUUUUUGCCUUCCAGAAUGUUAUGGAAGUUUACGGAUUGCGCACUAAUACUUCCUUUUAAAUUCCGGCAUGUCUCAAAACUUCACGGAUUGUGCUACAACGCUUUUCUUUUGGCUUCCGACAUGUCUUGGAACUUCACAAAUUGCCUAACGAUGGGUGCCAAAUACCUUGAAGUGGUCAAACGAGGGUCACAUCCCAACAACGGAUGGUCCCCGGACGAAAUUAGGGUAUGACAGUUGCCCCUCUUUACUUGUCUUUUAUUGGAUAUAAAAGGGAAGUAAAGAUAAGACACUAAUUUCGUUCGAGCAAAACACCAUUCAGCCAGUGAACCUCCCUGCCAGUAGAACCUGCAAAAAUUUGAAAAUGAUCAGUACCGACACAUCAUCCUGAUACUAUCGAAUUUGUUCCUCUUGGUUGAUACAAGACGUAGAAUGACCAUAAUUUGUCUCUGCGUUUUGUUGGACACGAUCGAGCCUGGGCGGCGAGACGCAGAAUGACCAUAAUUUGUCACUGCGUGCCACCGGACACGAUCACUUCUGGAUGGCGGAAAGGUGUGCGGGAUGACCAUAAUUUUUCUCCGCCCACCUCUCAACUUGCUGUUCUUGAAUGACAAAGGGCGUAUAAUUUGUAUCUACGCGUUUAUCACCAAACUUGCUGUUUCUGAAUAUAAAGGGCGCAGAAUUCGUCUAUGCGCAUUUACCACCCAACUUGUUGUUCCUGAAUGAUAAAGGGCGCAUAAUUUGUCUCUGCGCGUUUACCACUCGACUUGCGAAAUCUGAAUGCCAUAGGGCGCAGAAUUUGUCUCUGCGCAUUUACCACUCGACUCACUGCUCUUGAAUGAUAAAGGGCGCAGAAUUCGUCUAUGCGCGUUUAUCCACUCAGCUUGCUGCUCUUGAAUGAUAAAGGGCGCAGAAUUCGUCUAUGCGCGUUUAUCACCCAACUUGCUGUUCCUAAAUGAUAAAGGGCGCAGAAUUCGUCUCUGCGUGUUUAUCACCCAAUUUGCGAAAUCUGAAUGGCAAAUGGCGCAGAAUUUGUCUAUGUGCGUUUACCACUCGACUCGCUGCUCUUGAUUGAUAAAGGGUGCAGAAUCUGUCUCUGCGCGUUUACCACCCAUUGAGCGUGCGGAUUACCGCAUGUCAUCGGGCCCGCCGCCUCUGGAUGACAAAAGGUGCAGAAGACGACGUUAGUCUCUACGUGCUAUCAUGCUUUGAGUCUUAGAGAUAGCAAAAAAAGGUUUAAACAGAUAACCACACGGGUAUCUCCGCAUGUCACGUGACUCCAGUGUCAGUAUGACAGAAAUUGUCUGCACGGAAGAUGACGUAAAUCUCUGCGUGUCAACGGGCUUGUUGGCCGCGAUUGACAAAGGGUGUAGAAGACGACAUUAGUCUCUGCAUGCUAUCAUGCUUUGAGUCUUAGAGAUAGCAAAAGAAAGUUUAAACGGAUAACCACUCGGGUAUCUCCGCAUGUCACGUGACUCCAGUGUUAGUAUGACAGAAAUUGUUUGCGUGGAAGAUGACGUAAAUCUUCGCGUGUCAACAGGCUUGUUGGCCGAGAUUGACAAGGGUGUAGAAGACGACGUUAGUCUCUGCGUGCUAUCAUGCUUUGAGUCUUAGAGAUAGCAAAAGAAAGUUUAAACGGAUAACCACUCGGGUAUCUCCGCAUGUCACGUGACUCCAGUGUUAGUAUGACAGAAAUUGUCUGCGCGGAAGAUGACGUAAAUCUCCGCGUGUCAACGGGCUUGUUGGCCGCGAUUGACAAAGGGUGCAGAAGACGAUGCUAGUCUUUGCGUGCUAUCAUGCUUUGAAUCUUAGAGAUAACAAAAGAAAGUUUAAACGGAUAACCACUCGGGUAUCUCCGCAUGUCACGUGACUCCAGGGUCAGUAUGACAGAAAUUGUGGGGCGGCCGACAAAAGCGAGGCUCUUGCUCCUAUGUAUCCUCAAUGAGGAACUCAGACCUACGUAGUUCUGGAUAACUUGUGAGACUAAAAAUAGUCUCAGUGUUUUCUUCACUAAAAUGAGAACAUGCUUCAGUAAAGAGAGAAAACUUCCAACUAAUCAGAGCAACAUAUGCUUUUUGGAUGAAAAACAAUGUGUCUACCGGGGAAGGGGAGUAUGCUGAUGAAAUCUUCUCAUAACCACAAAUGAGAUUUUGGAUGUUAGCAUUUCGUUUCUAAAUGACCAUUUAGAGGAAACACUGGGUUCACCAAAAAUAGAAGAAAAUCACUCAUAGUGUAUCAAUCUCACACGGGUAAGUGUUUCAUCCUAAUUCCGAACCAUAGAUAUGCCAUGACUUGAUUUUGCAAAUUAUUUCCUAUCAAAUCAAAGAUUACAUGUGUGAUCAUGGAUCAAUAGGAUUUUUUCUUGGGAAUGGUGUUUAUUUGGUGGGAACUUUGGCUUUGAGUGUUUUUGGCCUUUUCCUUUUCUGUUUUUGUUUAGUGCGGGGCGAAAAAGUCGCUGACACACAGGAUUUUGGUUGGCAAUCAAAGGGAGAGGACCACUUUAGGUCGUGGUUUCCUUUCUUUUCUUGUUUACUUGGUGACAAAUAUGUAUUGUUCAGAUAUUGUCUGGUCCUAAGACCUUUCUGCAUAUUUCUUCUUUUCUCUUCCGAUAUUUGAACGGGAAAUUUCUUUCUUCUUUUUUUGCUUUCUCCCAUUCUUUGAUUGGGAUUUUUUUCUUCUGAUCCUUUUGAUCGGGAAUUUUCUCCUUUUCUCCUUUUCUCGUCUUUUCUUUUUCUUUUUCUUUUGUUUUCUUUUGAGGGCAAGGUUUAUGGUGAGUUGGGACUUUGGCUCAAGGCUUGUAGAACGGAUGGACAUGAGAUAUGUCAGGGUGUUGGUCUGGUUCAGAGAUAAAAGGGAAUGUCCCACAUUAUUUCCAUGACACAAAUGCAACAAUGAUGAUUUGGAAAUUUUAUGCAAAACUAGUCAUGCAUGCACCUAUGUGGACACUCAAAUGUUGAAAAUUUUUUGGUCAUGUGAUGCUAGGGCUCAUAAUUCAUUUUCUCUAUUUUAGUCAACCCAGUGUUUCAAAAAUAUGUUCUUUUAUCAAUUUGUGCCUUCAUCCGAGUCUAUCUUGGGUGUUCGGAAAAACUUUCACAGCAGUUACCCUUCAAAUGUGUACACACAUUUGUUUCUAAAACUAGCUAUGAUCAGCGAAUUUUUCCUUCAAAUAAAAGUUGGAAAUUAUCUCUUUUCACGAGCAUGUUGUUUUUUAGCUAGACAACUUUUUAUUCUUAUUAUUUUUUUUUUCUUUUUUUAUCAUUUGUUUAUUUCUUUUUCUUGUUUGUUUUUCUCUCUUUUUCUCUCUGAAAAGGUCGUGCGGACGAGGGCACACACUACCUACUUACGUCUAACCACAAGGUGAACGAGAAACGCACGAAAAUGGUAAGUCGCAAAAUGGUGACGAAAUAACUGAGAGCCAUAACGCCGAAAAUUUCUAACAGAAACGAUUAAUAAUGAUAGUAAUGUUAGUAACCAUAUGAACAAAAAUAGAAAACAGUAAUGUCAAUAACAAUAUAGACAAUAACAGAAAAACGUCAAUAGCAAACUAAUCAAAAAAACAGUAAUGUCAAAAAAUGCGGUGACCUCGGUCACGUGGCUCCGCUUCCUCCCAAGAAGCCGAGCAAGUCUAUCAUCUCCUCAUCCAUGCGAGCGUCCUCUGCAUCGUCAGGAGCUCCUGCAGGCGCCUCCUCCGUCUGGUCCUCGAGCCAAUCUCCGGGCCAUGCGAUCUCAGCCCUAAACUGAUCUGGAGUAGGGCAUGCAAAAGGAGCAAAACCCUGGCCCUACUGACUUAGGUUGAGCUGGUAGAGACACUCAUGUAUCUGCACCUGCCCCCGGUGGUUGGCCGCCUGCUGGUGAACCAAGUGCCGUAAAUAACGCUCCGUGCCUAAUGACCCAGCCGAAUCAGCCUGAUGAGGUGGCGGCGGUGCGUCUGCAGCCUGUGGCGCAUCACCCUGCGCCUGCCUAGGCGUGCAAUACUUCUUAAUGAAGGCUCGGGAGAUCGGCGACCGGAUCACCUUACUAGGUUUGAUGGGAACCCCGAAUGACUAGCAGAGGCCUGUAAUCAACGCUGGAAACCCCAGGGCCCUGUUAGACUUAUCCGGGUCUAGAGGGUGCCUGGUGGGUGGCAUACCUGCAAAUAAAUAGAUGGCGUCAGCAAUCAACUAAGGAACAUGGAUGCUCAUCCGUGUCAAGAUGGCAUACACCAGCUAACACUUUGGCAGAGGAAGGUCGGAGUUAUGAUCACUGGGUAGGACAUUGCUGAGCAACAACAUCAUCCACAUCUGUGUCAAGGUGGUUAUACUGGUGCGCAUGAUCCGCACCUGCCUCCCUGUAGCGGUCCGGGCAAAAUCCUGACCUGAUAUACAUAAUAGUUGGGCAAUGGCCUCUUUGUCAAACCCGUCGGCCCUGUUCCUUCUCUGACUUAACUCGCACUCCUGGCCUUCCUCUAACACCAGCAGGUCACCUAGGAACUGGCUGAGGGCAUCUGCAUCAAAGGGAAUCCACUGACCCCUCACCCAUGAUCGCAUUUCCCGCACUCCCUCUUCUGUGGGCCAAGCAUUGGCAUAAAAUUCCAGGACUAUCUCUGGGUCAAACUUAGCCAUGGGGGUGACCAGCGACGUCCAACGCCGGUGAGCUAUCUCUUCCUAAAAGUCGGUGUACUCAUCGUCCCUGAGCUGGACGCGUCUCUCUCGGUGGAACGACCAUCCUUUGAUGGCCUCGAAAUGCUGCUGGAUCUCAGCGCUCCUGAAACGGUGGCUAUCAAACUCGGGGGCGGCACUGGUCCCUUCAGCCGCGGCGUCCCUCCUUGAUCUUUUCGCGGAAAGAUUUCUCAAAGCCAUUUCCUACGAGGGCAAACAUUUGGAAAGUUAGUUUACAAGGAAAUUCUAUUUUAAAGCAAAAAUGGCAUGCUAAUCCUUUCGAUUUAGAACAAAUUUGUGUCCACAUCUCCUUAAAGAAAAACAUUUACCAACGUGCAUACGCGCCAAGUAUCCUGCUAUUUAUCAAUAUACAAGGAUAUUCAAAACAUUCCAGUUACCACAUAUAUUUUUUUUUGAAAAGAAUUCAUAUAUGCAUGCUCAAGGUAUUGUGCCAAAAUUACAAAUGUCCAUAUUCAAAGUAUUUUGCUACCAAAAAUUACCUACGCACAUUUGAAGUAUUUUAUUAACAUAAUUUUUUUUUUGUUUCAUUCACAUUUAUUUAUACAUAUAUGCACAUUUGAGGGCCCAUCUCAUGUCACGCACACACUUGCAUUUGAAAAGGAAUUUUCAUGCCAUCUAUCUACACUUGAGAGGCAAUUCCACAUCAUAUAUUCAUUUCGGGAAGCAUUCAAACGUCCGUACAUUCAUAAAGCACUUGACCACCUAUUCAACAUAUACACGUGUUAUUUGAAGGGUCCUUUCUCUAACUACCUAUCCUAUACAUAUACGUACAUGGUGAAUAAUAUCUUUACACAAACUAAGCAAACAUCAUGGUGCAACCCCAAAAAUCAGCCGCUGGCCUAAAGGGAAACCCCUAUCAUAAUGCCCUCAUUUUUAUGCUUUCUUGUAUUGAAAUCAAAAGCUUGGGUUCCUAGGCCUAGAAUCGCAUUCGGGUACUCAUUUUAAAUCCUUCAUGCUGUUCCUAUACAUAUAAAACAGUCCCACAAUCCCAAGCUUACAAAACCAUGCCCAUAUGUCAUUGAGGCAUUUCACCGAGCACUUGGUGGGCACAUGUUUUGGCAUGAAUAGCAAGAGAAUGGGGGCAAUGUGGCAUGCCCCAUUACUCUAGAAUGAAACAUAGGCCUAAGGCCAUCCCUUACAACCCCUUAAUUUAGCGAAAACAAGCAUGGAUUCACAUGUGAAUUGCCUCACGAAUUUCAUAAAAAAUGAGCAACUAAAGCACUAAAACACAUCAAGGGAGAGCCAAAUAACCAGGGGAAAGUGCACUUACUUGUGGGGAGUGAAAUAAAGCGUGAAAAGGGAAGCAAAAACUCAACAAUGGAAGCUUGGGGGCUGCUGUCUUUGUAGUUCCCGUGAGCUUGGUGUUUUUGAAGUGAGGGGGGAGAGUUUUGGAUGGAGGAAAACUCCUCCUCCUUCGUUUUUUAUUUGCAUGUGCAGGGGUGCUCGCCCAGGUGAGCUAACCUGUUUUUUUUUUGGGGAAGAAAUAAGUAAGGCUUUCUAUAGGUCGGCGUUCGCUUACUCGAACCCCCCUUAGGGUAGAUUAGGCAUUCAAUAUUUACUUUAAAGACGCAAUAGUAAUAACUACCGGGAAUUCAAAGGAUAAGGCUGCCCUGCAGCGGCGCUUAACGUUUCUCCAAAGCUAGGCAAGGGAUGACGAUCUAUCGGUCGUGACCCUAGCCUCUGCUUGCGUCCGUCCCUAAGUACCUAAAAGUAGGAAACAACAUUGCACGACAAACUGUGGCCGUGUUACCGUUUUACCUUGAUUGGUUUCUGCCUUCAGCUUAGUCCCGGUAUCUGACCACGGCCUAAGACGAUUCUGCCCCUGUUAUGCAUGCGUAUGCGUAUGUAUGAAUGUUUUCGAAUGCAAUAAGCCGGUUAGGUUCAGUUUUAAUUAAGCGCUUUGGGGCAUUGUGUGGAUUGAGCGAAAAGGCUCAGGCUAUCAUAGACUGCACAUGGUUUAAAGCACAAAGUGAGGACUGAAGCCUCAAACUCAUGUUCUGUUCUUUUUAGAAGACUGUGACGAGAAACUUACAGCAGACAUGAAUCCCUGGGGGAAACCAAGAAGAACACACAAAAAUAAAAGAAUAUGCAGCGACAUCCUUAAUUGCCCCAGAUUCUAAGCAUAGUAUCGCUUGACAAUAUCAGAGUUCACAGGUAAAGGUAGCUCCUUGCCAUCCAUGUUGGUAAGCACUAGGGCCCCUCCGGAAAAAGUCCUUUUCACAACGAAAGGCCCUUUGUAGUUCGGGGCCCACUUCCCUCGAUUAUCUUUAACAGCGUGGGACAUCUUUUUCAGCACAAGGUCCCCCUCAUGGAACUUGCGCAAGCGUACCUUCUAGUCGAAUGCAUUCUUCAUUCUUUGUUGAUACAGGCGCCCAUGGCUCAUGGCCAUCAAGCGCUUACCUUCAAUAAGGUUGAGUUGGUCAUAGCGUGUUUGAGCCCACUCUGCUUCUUCUAAGCUCGAUUCUGCUAGUAUCCUACGGGAAUGGAUCUCUACUUCAAAUGGGAGUACCGCUUCCAUUCCAUAAACCAAGGAAUACGGCGUUGCCUUAGUAGAAGUUCGUACUGAAGUUCGGUAUCCAUGCAAGGCAAAAGGCAACAUCUCAUGCCAAUCUUUGUAUGACACUGUCAUAUUCUGAAUAAUUUUCUUAAUAUUCUUGUUGGCUGCUUCCACGGCUCCGUUCAUCUUUGGCCGGUAGGGCGUGGAGUUGUGAUGCUGGAUUUUGAAAUCCGCACACAUUUCCUGCAUCAUCUUGUUAUUUAGGUUGGUGCCAUUGUCAGUAAUGAUCUUCCUAGGGAGUCCGUACCGACAAAUUAGCUCCCUCUUUAUGAAUCUGACCACUACACUCCUCGUGACAUUGGUGUAGGAAGCCGCUUCGACCCAUUUGGUGAAAUAAUCUAUUGCCACGAGAAUGAAGCGAUGACCGUUCGAAGCCUUGGGUUCAAUGGCCCCUAUGACGUCUAUCCCCCACAUGGAAAAAGGCCAAGGGGAGGACAUGACGUUCAAAGGAUGUGGCAGAGCAUUGACAUUGUCCGCGAACACUUGACACUUGUGGUAUUUCCUUACAUGGACGCAGUAAUCACUUUCCAUGGUGAGCCAGUAAUAACCUGCUCUCAGGAUCUUUCUGGCCAUAGCAUGCGCAUUGGCGUGCGUUCCGAACGAACCCUCGUGGACCUCCUUGAUCAUGUGGUCUGCCUCUUUGGCAUCCACACAUCGCAGGAGAGUCAUGUCAUGGUUUCUUUUAUCUAGUAUGCUCCCGCUCAUGAAGAAACCGGCCGCCAAUCCCCUUAAUGUCCUUUUAUCGUUGUUAGAAGCCCCCUGUGGGUAUCCUUUCCUUUCAACGAACCGCUUGAUAUCGAAAUACCAAGGCUUACCAUCCCGUUCUUCUUCCACCAGACAACAAUGCGCGGGUCUGCCACGACACCAGAACUCAAUGUAUGGUAGGUCCCCGUGUGGUGUUAGCUGGAACAUGGAUGCCAGAGUAGCAAGCGCAUCCGCCAUUUGAUUUUCCUCCCGAGGAACGUGAUGGAAGGAGAUCUCAUCAAAGGAAUCAGUCAACUCCUUGAUAUAGGCUUUGUAGGGUAUCAACUUGGGGUCUCUAGUUUCCCAUUCCCCUCUCAGCUGGUGAAUCACUAGUGCUGAGUCCCCGUACACUUUGAGCAUUUUGACAUUUGAGUCAAUUGCCGCCUGGACGGCCAGGACACACGCUUCAUACUCAGCCAUAUUGUUGGUGCAGUCAAACCCCAGCCUGGCUGUGAAAGGUAUACAUUGAUUGUCUGGAGAGACCAAUACUGCUCCAAUGCCAUGGCCUAGAAUGUUUGACGCUCCAUCAAACCAUACAGUCCAUUUGUCCCGAUCUUCGUCUAGUUUUUCCUCAAACAAGGUCAUGAUGUCCUCAUCCGGGAACUCGGGAUGCAUGGGCUGAUAGUCGUUGAGAGGCUGCUGAGCCAAAUAUUCUGCUAAGGCGCUUCCUUUUAUCGCCUUUUGGGUGAUGUAAACUAUAUCAAACCCGGAUAGCAAGACUUUCCACCGGUGAUCCGUCCCGUGAGAACUGGCUUUUCAAAGAUGGACUUAACCGGGUCCAUCUUGGAUAUCAACCAGGUGGUAUGGCUCAGCAUGUAUUGUCUUAGGCGAUGGGACGCCCCGACUAAAGAACAACACGUUCUUUCGAGUAGGGAGUAAUUCAUUUCACAGGCCGUGAACUUCUUACUCAAGUAGUAGACAGCGCGCUCUUUCUUUCCGGACUCGUCAUGUUGCCCUAGCAUACAUCCCAUCGACUCGUCCAAAAUCGUCAUAUACAAGAUGAGAGGCCUUCCGGGUACCGGUGGCAUAAGCACAAGAGGAUUCAUGAGACACUUUUUGAUCCUCCCAAAUGCCUCUUGACAAUCCUCAUUCCAACGGACGGUUUGGUUUUUGCGUAAGAGUUUGAACAACGGCUCACAAAUAGCAGUGAGCUAUGAUAUGAAUCUGGCAAUAUAAUUCAAACAUCCCAGGAAACCUUGAACUUGCCUCUCGGUACGGGGUUCCGGCAUUUCAAGGAUGGCCUUCACCUUUUCGGGGUCCACCUCUAUCCCUUUAUGGCUUACAAUGAAACUUAGCAAUUUCCCUGAUUUGACCCCAAAAGUGCACUUAGCGGGGUUCGACCUCAAUUGAUACUUCCUAAGCCUUUCGAACAACUUCCGCAGGUUGACAAGGUGUUCCUCCUCGGUCUUAGAUUUGGCAAUUAUGUCGUCCACGUAGACCUCGAUCUCUUGGUGCAUCAUAUCGUGGAACAAAGCUACCAUAGCCCGUUGAUAAGUUGCCCCGACAUUCUUGAGUCCAAAGGACAUCACCUUGUAACAGAACGUUCCCCACAAGGUGACGAAGGUAGUCUUUUCCAUAUCCUCUGGCGCCAUCUUUAUCUGAUUGUAACCGGAGAACCCAUCCAUGAAGGAAAACAAAGCGAAAUUGGCCGUAUUAUCCAUGAGGAUAUCAAUGUGCGGCAAAGGAAAGUUGUCUUUGGGACUGGCCCGAUUCAGGUCCCGAUAAUCCACACACAUUCACACCUUCCCAUCCUUCUUAGGGACUGGUACGAUGUUGGCAACCCAUUUUGGGUACCAAGCGACAGCCAAAAACCCAACGUCAAAUUGUUUCUUUACCUCUUCUUUUAUUUUCAAGGAUGUCUCGGGCUUCAUCCUCCUCAGUUUCUGCUUUACCGGGGAACACUCGGGAUUUAGGGGUAAUCGGUGUUGUACAAUGUCAGAACUCAAACCGGGCAUAUCUUGGUACGACCAAGCAAAGAUGUCUUGGUAGUCUUUCAGCAGGGCUGUUAAUUCUUUACGGGUGGGUGCGGUCAUACUCGUGCCUAUCUUUACUUCACUUUUUCCACUGCCAGUUCCUAAGUCUACUAGUUCUGUCUCUUCAGAUGAGGCCCCGUUUCUUGUUCCUCAUGCGCGACUAUCCUUUCCAACUCCGGGGGAAGUCCCACAUCCUCAUGCUCUUCAUCCUCCGUCUGAUUUGUUUCUUGCUCGAAAUCGAUGGGUGGGUCCCAGGUAUCAGUACCUUCGAGGGACUCGUCGUCGGAUCUGGCAUUUUAAACGUAAAGAAAUAGACAUGCAAAUGGAUGAGAAUGGGUAGAGACGUGGGAACAGAUGAAGAAAGAUCUUUGUAUUAUAAAUUCAGGAACCAAAGACACAAAACCUUAACAAAAGGAAACUCUAAAUCCUAGGCCCAACUGUAGAGCUUUUAAAAGCCAUAAAAAGGUUUACAUUAUGCUUGUCGCGUAAAUGUCCGGGCGCUCCUCCACUUGCCAAUUUCCUAGUCGGAAAUCAGGAGGGCAUGGUCGUACCAAAUCCGACCCACUCGGAGCAUCAUCUUCGCAUAUUGCAACGACUUGGCCUUCGUCCCCUAGACCCGCGCUUAUAAAGCUCCUACUUAUGUGGCAGGGCGGGCCUCCUUCGUCUUCUUGUCUUAAUCGCAAGCCUUGACUUCCGCUUUUCCUUCCUGCAAUGCUUUUCCUUAUAUCUGCCUGUGUGGGUUUAUAGCCUAACCCAAACUUCCCACAGUUUCCUUUAGCGCUUAUCAGGCUGGUUAUGCCGCCGUUAUCCUUGCCUAAACCCAUUCCGGGCUCGUAACCAUUCCCCAACACCACUCGGGCCAUCAUUACUGCCGCAUCGGACAGGCAAGGUUGCCCAGAAAAGGAAUCUACAGAGGCAAUGCUAACCACCUCAAAAGACUGGAAGGCCGUUUCUAAUGACUCCUCCGCGGCUUCCACAUAUGGCAUAGAGGAUGGGCAACUCACCAAGAUGUCUUCCUCGCCCGAUACGAUAACCAAAUGCCCUUCCACUAUGAACUUCAAUUUUUGGUGGAGUGUAGAGGGAGCGACUCCCAACGAAUGGAUCCAUGGGCGCCCCAACAGGCAGCUGCAAGCGGGGUUAAUGUGCAUUAUUUGAAAGGUAACCUGACAGGUGUGAGGGCCUAUCUAUACCGGGAGGUCGAUCUCUCCCCUAACCUCUCGGCAGGUGUCGUCGAAGGCACGAACUACCAUGGAACUUGGCUUAAGAUGGGAAGCAUUAAACGGUAAUUUCUCCAAAGUGCUCUUGGGCAUUACAUUUAAACUGGAACCGUUAUUGAUAAGCACCUUGGCUACGACGUGGUCCAUGCACUUGACUGAUACAUGCAAAGCCCUGUUAUGCCCUCUCCCCUCGGCAGGGAUUUCUUCUUCGGCGAAGGCGAGAUAGUUGUUGGCAGUGAUAUUAUUGACGAGCCCUCCAAAGCCUUCUACAGAGAUAUCUUGGGCCACAUGGGCUUCGUUCAAAACCUUUACUAGCAAAGCCCGAUGACGCUCCGAGCUCAUGAGUAAUUCCAACAGCGAGACCCUGGUCGAGGUUUUGUUGAGCUGCUCAAUAACCUUGAACUUGCUCUGCUGAAUUAUGCGGAGAAACUCGCUGGCUUCCUCUAGUGACACCUCCUUCUGGCCAUAACCAUCCCUUUUCUCCGGAAGACCCUUCACCGAAAUAUCCUCAUUAGGAGUGAGGGGAAUUUUAUCAUCUUUUUCUUCCACUACCUUUGCCUUCCCCUUAACGUUCGUGGGUUGAAUUGGUAGGUCGGGGGGGUGCAAACACGCGACCACUGCGGGUCACACCGCUCAACACCGUGAUAUUGGUUACCUUGGCCGACAACGAACUGAUGUCAGUGGCUUCUUCUUCCCUUUUGUUCCGAGGUGUGUACCUCCAUGGGACUGCGUGGCUGUUUUGGUAUGGGAAAGGGACAGGUUUAGCUGCCGAGGGGUAUCAGGGCUUUUGUGAAGCUGCGCCCUUGGUGAAGUAUAUCACCAAAGGUUUAGGCCUUCCGAAACUUCUCUCAUCCGCGGACUACAUACAUAUAUGCUGCUCUUCCCUUCCCUCAUUGCCGACUUCCAGUCGACCUUGAUCUAUCAUCCUUUGCAAAAGGUCCUCCACUGCCAAACAUGUUUCCAUGUUAUGAAGCUCGCCGGGAUGCAACAUACAAGAAUCAUCUUCAUGCCCAUCGUGGGGAAUGACACCCCCUUUUGUAGGGCCUCAUAGAUAAACCUCCUAGGUGUCGCUACGUCCCUUAAAGGCUUAGACCUGUGUGGCCUAUCUGAAUCAAUGGCAUUAACCACUCCCCCUCCAUGAUUAGCGAGCGAGUUAGUUUUCACAUUGGGCUGAUCCUCUUGAAAUGUUAGCCAUCCGACGUCUAUCAAAUGCUAGACCUUGUAUUUAAGGGCCAGGCAUUUUUCAACUCACCGUGUGUGCAAAUAGUGUUGGUGUUUGUGUGCAUCAAAUGAAUAAAUAUUUACCUCAUGCAUACAUUUUAAAAUGUACUAAAAGCAUCAAAGAGUUAUAUAUACAAGAACAUAAGAAAAAUAAAGGGAAACCAACAAAGGAGAAAGUCAUGAUAGAACAUUGCACAAGAUUAAUUGGCCUAACUCUCUAAAACUAUUCCCCAGUGGAGUCACCAAUUGUCGCAACCUACCCUUCGGCGGGAGGGCAACGCGUGACUCGCGGGUGCGUGCUCCAAGAAAGGAAUACGCGCGGAAGUCGCCACCAACGUUUAUUUGAGGAAAACGUCAGAAAAACCGGAAAAGACGUGAUCUACGAACUUUAAGUGAUAGGUUCGUGAGUUGUAUUUACGCACGAGGAAGGUAUUAGCACCCCACGCGUCCGUCACAAGAGACGACAACCUUUAAUCCAAUGUGCAAAUGUGACUUCAAUUUAUAUUAUUUUCCCUUUUUACGUUCUUAUGUCUUUUUAUGCCUUUUUAUGUUUUUAUCUUUUUGUGGUCGACAAGGGGUGUUUCCCUUUGCUCCUACGUAUUCCUCAAUUGUGAUGAGAAAAUCAGACCUACGUAGUUCUUUUGUGAACAAAUCGUUUUGGUUAAGUUAUUUUUUAUCCUUUUUUGCAAGAUAUGUUUUUAUUGAAUGAAAGGUCAUUUAAGGCGUUGGACCAUUAGACAAUCUUUUGAUUCUUUUGAAAAGUGAGAAAACAUUAAGGCAUUGGACCAUUAAUGAUUUCUUUACUUUUGAAAGAGGUAACAAAGUUACAUAUUGAUUUUAGGCUUUUAGAAAUCUACAUUUAACCAAUAAAAGCGGAAAAGACCAUUUCAAGGCGUUGGACCUUUAAAAAUGGCUUUUUAGGCGUUGACAAAAACUUUGGUUUAUGAAUUGAUUUUAGCCUUAGUUUCACUUUGGUUAUUAGUCAAUUCAAUUAAGAACGAAAAAUCCCAAAGAGGAACGUCCGAUUGAUUUUUUUGUUUUAUUUUACUAAAAUAUAUUUUUUUGAUUAUUAUAUUAUUAUUUUACCUCUUUAUGGUUUCCAACGUGGUUACGACAUGACCGAACGGUCGGAUUUCAUUUUAAUAGAAAUUAACGGAUAUUACAAUUCAAAUGAUCGGUGGAAAUUUAUUUUAUUUUUUGAUUAAGCGAGAAAAUGACUUAAGUAAAUGACUAAAGUACGUCAAAAGGGGGUACGGAAAGUAAAUGAAACGAAUAUAAAAGUACGCAAAACAAAUGAGGACCACUAAGGGUACAUAGAAUGAAUUGAAAAGUUCGAUUUCGGGAACUUACCGGUUGAAGACCGAAGAACGACGAAGAACGUCAAAGAACGGUUGAAAAUCUUCGCGAAAUCACCCACCGAAACGUUACGGAAGCGCCUCGGCUUGGAUUUUCUUCAUGGAAACAAUUUUUUUCACUAAUUUCAAGUGAUCUCGAAAUACCACAAGGGCUGAACAUUUUUCUCCUUCACUCCUCCCCCUAUUUAUAGGAAAAUAGGGGAGGAGCUUGCCACCCAGUACGCCCAGGCGAGCUAGGUUGCUUCCUCCAGAAGCAACCGCCUUUUGGAGGAACAUCCUGGAAGGCCCAAGUAGCCUGGUUGCUAUUUGCACCCCAUUUUUACUCAGUACACCCCUUGCCUUUUUUUGGCGAUUCUUUUUUCGUAAAGUUACGAAAACUUACGAAUUUCGUAAUGAUACUUUUUUUCUUUCCGUAAUGUUGCGGAACCUUACGGAUUACGUAAUCAUCCCUUUUUUUCCUUCCGGAACGUUACGAAACUUUACGGAUUGCGCACUAACACUUCCUUUUAAUUUCCGGCAUGUCACGGAACUUCACGGAUUGUGCUACAAUGCUUUUCUUUUGGCUUCCGACAUGUCUCAGAACUUCACAAAUUGCCUAACGAUGGGUGCCAAAUACCUCGAAGUGGUCAAAUGAGGGUCGCAUCCCAACAACGGAUGGUCCCCGGACGAAAUUAGGGUAUGACACAGGUGUUGAGGAAAGAAUCCCUGAGUUUCAAGAACCUAUGGAUUUGAGGUCAAAUCCUUUUCAAGGGGGAGGGAAUGAUGCAAUCCUACUCUCCAAGGGCAUUGGAUAGAAGACUCCAACAUGAUUGGGGUAGAGAUGCAAGAGAAGGCCCUAGGGUUCUCAUGAGCCUUAGGGUAGAUUUCGGGCCCAUGGGUUAAGUAUGAGCCCACUUAUCUUUGUACAUAUUAGAUUAAGGUUUUAUUAUUUUUGGGCCCUGUAUGUAGGGCUCCAUAAUGUAGGGAGGGUACCCUAGAAAUGUAGAAUUUUUCAGCCCUUGUAUUUUAGGGCACCUAGACUAGUUUUUGUAUUAGGGGUAGUUUUGUAAUUUCACAUGCAUUAAGUGAAUAUUUGAUGUGUGUGUUGGAAAAUAAAUUUAAUUGAAUUGGGAGAAGCCCAAUCCAAUUAAAUUUUAGAGGGGGUGAGCAUUUGCUUGCUUCACCCCAUUGCCACAUCAUAUAGUCUUACUUUGUGCAUGUCCUUCAUGCUUUACAUGCCUCAUGACACCUAAGCACACUUAGUGGAGAAUCUUGGACUUGAUCUUGGAUUAGUGGGCUGAACCAUAACUAAAAUUCACUAAUCAUAAUUAGUGAAAUUUUGGCUUGAAAAUUUGGCUGCACAAAUUCAAUUUCAAAUCUAAGUGAAAUUUGAAUAGAAAUUCAAAUUUCCCUCGAAUUUUGUGUGACACUUAGGCUAUAAAUAGAGGUCAUGUGUGUGCAUUUUUUUUCAACUUUGAUGAUUUGAAAAUUAAACUUCAUAUUUCAGAGCUGUUUUAGAGCACAAAAUUUCGUGCUCUUCUCUUCCUCUUCCUUCAUUCAUCUCCUUCUUCCUCCAAGCUCUUAUCCAUGGCCUCCUAUGGUGGUGAGUUUCUUCUAGACUUAUCUUCUCCUUGAAGUGGUGUCUCCUCUCUCUCUUCCUUCUCCAUUCCGCUGCCAUUCAUCUUCCAAGAAGCAAAGGAAUCCAUUGAUGAAGAAGAUCUUAGUCCUACAAGCUCCAAUGGAGCUUACAUCACAACAUAUCAAGGCUCUGAUAAUCGAUUACCAGGCAGUGUAAUCGAUUACCAGAAGACAAGUUUGCAAAUUAGCUUCUUAAAAGGGUUUGAAAUUUGAAUUUUGAAUGUGUAAUAGAUUACCAUUGAUGUGUAAUCGAUUACCAGCAACAGAACUCUUGAAAUCCAAUUUGAAAAGUCAUGACCCUUCAAAAUAUAACUGUGUAAUCGAUUACUAGAAACCUGCAAUCGAUUACUAGUGAAAAAUUUCAGAAAAAGCUUUUUGAAAAGACACAUCUCUUCAAACCAUUUUGAAAAGGCACGAAGGGCCUAUAUAUGUGUGUGUGAAUUCAAAAAGCAAGAGAUAGACAUUCCAAGAGAACUUCAUUGUCAAAUGCUCUCUCAACAACUCUUGGGCAAACACUUGCAAAUCUAUUGAGAGUUCAUCCAGGAACUUCAAAUUGUAUUAUCCACUCUAAAGGAGAGAAAUCUUUCUGUUCUUCUCAGAAAGUCAAUUGUAAUCAAGAGACUGGUUGUCUCUUGAAUUGUGAGUUUCCUAAACACAAGGGAAAGGGAUUCCUUGGGUGUUCAAAAGUUGACAAAAGGAUUUUUACAAAGAUAGUGGAAAAUCUCAAGUGGGUUGCUUGAGGACUGGACGUAGGCACAGGAAGUGGCCGAACCAGUAUAAAUCGAGUUUUCAUUUCUCUCUUCCCUUAUCUCAUUUAUUUUAUUGCAAUCAAUUUUGUCUUGCAUGUUUUAAGAACAUUAUUAAAUUGAUUGCUGCUUGUUCUUCUGCAUUCAAGGCCUAUCAUUUAAAAAGGGGGUUAAAAGUUUGUUAGUGGGAAUUUUGAAACUUAAUUCACCCCUCCCCUCUUAAAUUAUUGAGACCACUUGUCCAACAUAUUAGACAUUACACAAUCAAUCAAAACAACUCAGACCUUGGCAGUGUAGUAAACUAUACAUUUGAAAUUUUAAGACAAGGAGAGAACACAGAUUAGGCACAUGUUAAUCAUGAUAAAAGAACUUUUGGCAGGUUGUGUUGUACACCCAAAUGUCUUGAGAAAAGAACACAAAUUAGGCAAACGUAAAAUCAUGAUAAAAGAAUCUACAUCAGAUUAGGCACACAUAUAAAUCAUUUUCACCACAAAAAUGUUGCAAAAUAAUUGGACUGGGAAAUAAAACUGCAUCAGAUUUGCAUAAAUAUAAAUUACAAUCAGAGGAAUAGGAAGAUUCAGCAACAGAACUGGCUCAAUAAUACCUCUAAAUCAAACUUCUAAUUUAAGAAAUCAUGAGUCAACUAAUAGAUGUGUAGCAUGAAAUUUAAGAAAAUUAUUUUCAAGACAUUCUAAUUUACCUUGAAAAUUGCACAAAAAAGGAAAAUUAGAAGUUAGUUGAUUCAAUGUUUUUUUGGUCUAGGAUCCCAAGUAUCUUCUACAAGAAACAAUCUUGUUCAUACUAGCAACAUCCCCAACAUUGUGGACCUAACUCUCCUAUCAAAGAUUUUAUCUAUAUGCAACUAGAAUCAAACAUAUACAACCAUAUUCAACCACUCACUUAUUGGAUGAAACUUAUUCCUCUUAUCACACUCAAAUUUAAAAUCAAUGGCUAUUAUUAGUUUAUUUAAAAAUAUGCUUCUAAAUAUACCAAUUUUUUUUAGAGUAGCCUUUGAUAAAUUGUCUAAAUAAUUUCACAAGAAAUAAAUAGAUUUCUAGGAACACAAAAUAUUAUAAAUAAGCUCGUAGGAACUCAAACAACACAUUUUGAUUUUACGUGUGCCUAAUCUGUGUUCUUUUGAUUUUGAUAAAAGAACUUUUGGCAGCUUGUGUUAAAACAAGACAUUUUCUAGGAACACAAAAUAUUACAAAUAAGCUCGUAGGAAGUCAGGCAAUAAUAUUAUCACAUUCCCUCAUGUGAAUGUAUGAAUACAUGAAUUUUGAUGAUGCCAAAGAAGAAUCAAACAAGGCCACUUCAAAGGAUAAGCAUUUGCUUCAAGAUUAAUUCAAGAUUUCUUCAACAAACAAAGCCUUGUUUCAAGAUUCACUAAAGAUCAAGCCUUGCCUCAAAAUAAAGGGUUUCAAAGUCAUGCAAGGCUUUGGUAAUCGAUUACCAGGAAGUGUAAUCGAUUACCAGAAGGGAAGAAUGAAAAAGAGUUGUUGAAAAGGGUUUUGAAUUUGAAUUUUGAACAUGUAAUCGAUUACCAUAUGUCUGUAAUCGAUUACUAGCAAUGAAACUCCUGAAAUUCAAAUUCAAAAGUCAUGACCCUUCGAAUUAUAACUGUGUAAUCGAUUACACAAACAUUGUAAUCGAUUACUAGUGGAGAGUUUUCAGAAAAUCUGCCAAUAGUCACAUCUUUUGAUUGGAUUUGUGAAUGGCCAUCAAAGGCCUAUAAAUAGGUGACUUGGGCACGAAUUUUGAAGAGAGAGUUUUGCUUGUUCAAAAUGUCUUAUCCUCUCAAAAGGAAAUGAGAGAGAUUCCAAGAGAACUUCAUUGCCAAAUGCUCUCUCAAAAGAAAUUCUUGGGCAAACACUUGCAAAUCCAUUAAGAGUUUCUCCAUCGACUUCAAUUGUAAUAUCCUUCUCUUCAAGAGAGAAUUCUUCUUUCUUGAUUAAGGGACUGAGGGUCUCUUAAAUUGUAAGGAUUCCUGAACACAAGGGAUGAGUUGUCCUUGUGUGGUUCAGACUUUGUAAACGGAUUUUUACAAAGGGAGUGGAAAAUCUCAAGUGGGUUGCUUGAGUACUGGACGUAGGCACAGACUUUGCCGAACCAGUAUAAAAACCGUGUUUGCAUUCUCUCUUCCCUUAUCUCAUUUAUUUUGUUGCAAUCAAUUUUUUCUUUCAUGUUUAUAGAACAUUAUUAAAUUGAUUGCUGCUUCUUUUGCAUUCUGAGCCUAUCUCUUUUAGAAAGGGAUUAAAAGUUUGUUAGUGGGAAAUUAAUUCACCCCUUCUUAAGAUUUCUGAGGCCACAUGUCCAACACCUCAUGUUUUACUACAAUUGCACUUUUGGCAGGUUGUGUUCUACACCCAAAUGUCCAUUUCCUCUUCAUUAUUCCUCAUUCAUACUUAUGUUACAUCAUUUCAUUGCGCUACGCACACGUCAUUUCUUCAAACCUAAGGCCCCUUAUUAAUUUUGUUGCUUCCACUUUUAUGUUUUUUUUUCAAACAACUACAAUCCAACUUGAAUUAUCGAGAAUGUCUUUGAAUAUCUGGGAAUGUUUUCUUUGGUUGUAGGUAGUAGGUUGAGACAAAAAGUUACGAAGUAAAUUCUUGUUUCACAAGCGUUGGAGUUGACUCUAGACUGUUGUGUUUGGUUUGCCAUUGCUCUGAUCGCACUCGUAGAUGUUGUUAUUGACCGUAUUUGUCAGGUAUGUAUUUGUUUGACUCACACCAAUGUUAAUUACAUGGUUAUUUAUAUAUGAAUUUUGUGUUAUAUAAGCAAUUAUGUGCAUUGUGAGUGAACCUUAGUUUCCCGUUUGAGAUUCUAUACAACGAUUAAUACGAAAAGUUUGCAUUAAUCAAUGUAUGGAAUCUUGAAUUGUUUGUUUGGACAGUUUGAGAAGACUCAUUUUUUAUAGUAGGUUAAUACGUAUAUGUUAAUUGUCUUUUCUUAAAUUUGUUAACAUUUCGGUAUACUUUAUUUCACUUUGUUUUCCGAGUGCAUAGUUGAAUGUGGUGGAUGAAGACAUGCCACCGCUUUCAUCUCGUGUACUUGGGGACAUAGGUGAAAUACUGCUAAAAUUUCAUGCAUGUUAGAUAACUUGAUAAAGUCUUACAGCAAAGGGAAAACAUGGAUUGAAGUUGGAGGCAAGCAUCACACAUCAGUGACGAGUAUGGGAAUGGAGUUGAACAAUUCCUCUAAUUUACUGAACUCAAUGCACCAUCUUUGCGUGAUAAAUUUUUCUGUCCAUGUGUGAAAUGUGGGAAUGGGAGACACCAGUCAAUAAAUGACAUAAGAUCACAUCUUAUAUGUCACGAGAUUAUUCCAAAUUACACAAAAUGGAUAUGGCAUGGGAAAUUUCCAGACAAGCCAUCAGUCUCUCAUACUAAGUCGGUUGAUGUAGACAUGGGAUAUCGUAUAGAAGACAUGAUUCACAAACUGGGCCAAGACGGAUUUCAACAAGCACAUGCACCUUUGUAUGAGAAAAUAGAAAAUGAUUCGAAGAUGCCUUUGUAUCCUGGGUGCACUGAUUUCAGAAGGUCGUCAGUGGUAUUACCUUUGGUCAACUUGAAGACACGAUUUGGUUGGAGUGACAAAAGCUUUACUGAAUUGCUUGUUCAAUUGAAAAAAUUUCUUCUUCAAGAUAACAUGUAGCACCCUGAUAUAUAUCUAUAUAUUAUUAGUAAUUAUGUUUGAUGUUUGAUUAUUUGUUGCGUUAUUUUUCCAUAAUUAUUUUCAAGGAGGUUAAUUUAGUUAAUAGAGGGGUGUGGGUAGAUAAGUAUCUAGCUUCUCAAAGAAGACUCUUGAGAAAGCUUCUCAAAGAAGCCACGAGGAAGCUUCUUGAGGAAGCCUCUUAAUGAAGCUUCUUGAGGAAGCUUCUUGAGGAAGCUACAUGAGCUGCCUCGGUAAAAAUGUCGCCCAGACUUCAUUAACCGUUGGAUCUUCUCGAAAUUUGGUCUGCAGCUUCACAAGGAACAUUUCCAUGAUCUGACCGUUGGGAUCUUUGAGAAGAUGUCUAAAGUGUGCUCGAAGCUUCCGUUCCCGAGAGCAUUUCUUAUUUAAGCAUUUCGGCCUUUGCUUUCGGGUAGCUUAGGAAAAAUGUCAUUUCUUCUCCUUUCUUUCUUCCAAAGCCAUUUCUAACGUCCCAAGCACUUUCUCCAUCACCCACAGCCACCAUUAGCCACCACAAACCAUCGUUGUUCUCCAUUGAAACCCCACACCGAGAGGAACCCUUCAACCGAAGCGGAAUCUUCCAACUUGGCUUGCGGUUUCGGUAGAGAACGAAACCCUAAUCUGACCUUUUGUUUUCUUUCGAGGUAACCAUGGUUCUACGCUUGUUUCUUGUUAGUUUCAUCUUGUCUUUGCAUCUUUUCUGACUUUGGAACCGCCAUUGCAUGUCUUAUGCUUCCUUUGAAAAACCUUAGAGACUUUGUAAACGCUAUCCUUUCAUGAAAUGCAUGUUAUUUUCGUAACCUACACUGAACCCCGGUCACAUUGGCAUGGUCGGAAUUUCCAAAUGAUGUUCCUUUGUAAAACCCGAAAUGCUCUCAGCUCUUUCAUGUAGUGAUGUGGGUGUUUGACCCAGAGCACUGUUACUAGCUUUGUUUUCUGAAAUCCAUACUAAGUCUCCUUCGUUUUGGCAUGGUAGAGACUUACAUGGAAUCGACGAGCAAGGACGAAAAGGAAUCUUCAAGUGACGUAACGAGGAAUCCGCGGGGUAGCUCAUGAUAGGUGAGGGGAUUUUAUUAUAAAAUUUACCGCCAUAGUUAGGGUCAGGGAAUCUAGCUAUGAGGAUAUCUGCCUGUCCCUAUUGCAUGCUGAUUUUUCUUCAAAGAAAAUUACAUUUUAAUUAAUGGGAUACGAUAUAAUUGUUAUUGACAUGCAUGCUAGUUUUUUUUCAGUAGAACCUAUGUUUUUGACGAACGGGAUGUGAUAUAUAUAUAUAUAUAUAUAUAUAUUGUGAUGAAUGAUAUUGUUGUGUUUGUUUGAUUUGUGUUGUUGAUGUCGCUAUUAAGUAUUUUAAUUGAUAUGUGAUGAUAAUGAUAAUUAUGAUGAUAUUGAUUUGAGAUGACAUUGUUAUUAAAGACCAUGUCAACAUAAAAUGUUAUUAUUGAUGAAUAUGUGAAUAUGAAAUGAGGUUGCUGUUGUUGUUGAUAACAUCAUUGAGAUGAGAUGAUAUUUAUGUUGUGAAUGACAUGGAAAUGGAAUGUUGAUUGAUGUUGGAAAUGCAUUGGAAUGUGCAUGUUGUGUAUGUUCGUGGGGGGCACUAUGCACUGACCUUCCAGGGUCUUUGGCACUAGCUUUUGGUCAUGUUCAUACGUUGGAUGUUGCGUAUGUUCGUGGAGGGCACUGUGCACUGACCUUCCAGGGUCUUUGGCACUAGCUUUAUGGAGUGUAUGUCAUGGGGGGUAGAGUGCACUGACCUUGUCGGAUGGCCCAGAUGUGGGUAACUAGCAUGGUUAGAGAAUCUAAGCAUUUAUGGGGGAACACCUUUGGGCUCCCAGGCUGAUCACCUAUGGGAGAGGGGCUGUUACGUUCACAACCGGGUGGUCUUGACAAACUCAGCACAGUUCCCUAAGUGAGAGUGUCGUGUGGACACGCUUAGGCUAUUUCCUAAGGUUUGGUUGUUGUUGGUAUGUACCACAUUGCAUAUGAGUGUUGAGUCAGGUGCAUGCAUCAUUCUGUGUAGUCUUGAUUGGGUCCAUGGAUGGAUGAUGAUUAAUCGUUGGAUGUGGAUGAUGAAUAAUUGUUGGAUAUGAGUGUUGAAUAAUGAAUGUUGUGUAUGCUCAUCAUGUUUGCCUAUGUUCCUUGCUAAUUGUGGUUAUUUGGUUUUGAUAUUGGUUCUUUUUAUAAUGAACUCACCCUUGCAAUUUUGUAUCGUGUGGUUGAUACCUGUGAUGAUUACGAACAUUGUUCGUGGGAGCAGAAUGACAGUGGUAGGGUGCAGAAAGUGAAAUUCUGGUGAGGAGCCGCUAAGCCGAUGUGAUGACGUUGACAUUAUUUUGGGAGGGAGUUGUGUUUUGUGAUCAACUCCUCCGUAGUUGGUUUUUAAGUUUUAUUUUGUUGAGUUAAAGAUGUAAAACUGAGAUUUUAGUUAUAUCUAUGAACAUAUUUAAUUUUCGUUAUGUGUAUGACAUGUACCGAAUUAUGGUUUCUAUAUAAUUAUGCAUAUUCACUUAAGUAAUAGCGUGUUGUUGGAUGAAUUUAUGUUGUGACAAAAUCACUUCUAUUUUCAUAAGCAAAAAUUAAGGGAGUUCUUUUUAUAAAAAUUGAAAUUAUCGAAUAUUAGAGUGUGGAUACCGUAGCGAUGAGGCGGGUCGUUACAUAACACGUUGCCGAAGAAUCAAUAUGAGGCAAAGAAGAUUUUAUGUCCAAUAGGAAUGGAGUACCAGAAAAUCCAUGCAUGUCCAAAUGAUUGCAUUUUGUAUAGAAAUCAGUUUGCAGAAAUACACAAUUGCCCUACAUGUGGUGUAUCACGCUACAAGGUCAACAAUGACGAAUGCAAUGACGAUGCAACCGCAAACAAGAGUCAUCCAACAAAGGUCUAUUGGUAUCUUCCAAUAAUACCAAGGUUUAAGCAAUUGUUUACUAAUGGACAUGAUGCAAAACACUUGAAGGCAUGCAAACGGGAGAAAAAGUGAUGGAUUGCUCCGACAUCCGGCUGAUAGUCCGCAAUGGAAGGAAUUUGAUUGUUUGUAUCCUGAUUUUGGGAAUGAGCCAAGAAAUCUAAGGCUUGGUCUUGCUUCAAAUGGAAUAAAUCCUUUUGGUAACUUAAGCACCAAUCACAGUUCAUGGCCUGUUUUGCUCAUGAUUUCAACCUCCCUCCUUGGUUGUGCAUGAAGAGAAAAUACAUAAUGCUUUGCAUGAUGAUAGCAGGUCCAAGAUAGCCAGGGAAUGAUAUUGACAUCUAUUUGGCUCCGUUGAUCGAAGACUUGACAAAAUUGUGGGAAGACGGGGUUGAUGUGUGGGAUGGUAAUCUGCAGCAGACGAUUAGGUUGCAUGCAAUGGUUUUCUGUACCAUUAAUGAAUAUCCAACAUAUGGAAAUUUAAGUGGUUAUAGUGUGAAAGGCCAUCACACAUGUCCUAUAUGUGAGAAAAAUACUAGCUUCUUCCAACUAAAACAUGGAAAGAAGAUAGUAUACACAAGGCACCGAAGAUUUCUCUAAUAGUAUCAUCCAUAUCGACAAUUGAAGGAAGCUUUUAAUAGAUCUCAGGAAAAUGAAAGUGCGCUGAAACCAUUAUAUGGCAAAGAAGUUUAUGAUUGCGUCAAGGACAUCAUAACUAUCUUUGGAAAGACACAAAAAAAUCUGCAACUGAGACAAACAUAUGGAAGAAAAGGUCCAUAUUCUUUGAUCUUCCAUACUGGUCUGAUCUUCAUGUUAGACAUUGUAUAGAUGACAUGCACGUGGAGAAAAAUGUUUGUGAUAGUUUAAUUGACACCCUUCUUAACAUUAAAGGCAAAACAUAGGAUGGUUUGAAGUGUCGUCAGGACUAGCAUCCAAUCUCACAAGGUUUGCGAACGUAUCUACCCCUAGCAUGUCACACAAUGUCAACAAACGAGAAAAGGAGUUUUUGUCAUUGUUUGCGUAUGCUAAAAGUCCCACAAGGAUACUCUUCAAAUAUCAAGAGCCUUGUGUCCAUCAAUGAUUUGAAAUUGGUUGGCUUGAAAUCUCAUGAUUGUCAUGUAUUAAUGCAACAACUAUUGCCUUUAGCGAUUCGGGGAAUCUUGCCUGACAAAGUUCGGGUUGCCAUAACACGUCUGUGCUUUGUUUUUAAUGCUAUCUGUAGCAAAGUCAUUGACCCUGCAAGAUUAGAUGAAUUGGAGAACGAGGAUGCCAUUAUCCUUUGUCAAAUGGAGAUGUAUUUUCCUCCAUCAUUUUUCAACAUAAUGGUUCAUUUAAUUGUUCAUCUAGUGCGGAAGAUCCGAAUGUGUGGUCCUGUUUUUUUUACGAUGGAUGUAUCCAAUUGAGCGUUACAUGAAAGUGUUAAAGGGGUAUACCAAGAAUCAACACCGACUGGAAGCUUCGAUUGUCGAAAGGUAUGUUGUUGAAGAGUGUAUCGAGUUUUACUCCCAGUACAUUGAAGGUGGUAAAUCCGUCGACCUUCUUGAAACUCGUCAUGGUCGGACACCGGGGGUAAAGGUACAUGAGGAUACAAUGUUGUGACAAUGACUUGGCACAAGGUCUCACAAGCGCAUCUAUAUGUAUUAAACAAUACAAUAGAGGUCAUUCCAUACAUAGAUGCUCAUAAAAAAAACUCACCGAAAUGAACCCAAAAAUAAACAUGAUGAGGAUUUUGCAAGAGCAUAAUAGAGCUUUCAUUAACUGGUUCAGAGAAACAAUAUUUGCUGAUGAUGGUACUUCCAAAACAUUAAGAUUGUUAACUGUUGGGCCAAAUCUGAAUGUACCGACUUGGAAAGGGUAUGAUAUCAACAAUUAUUCCUUCUACACUAAGUCCAAGUACGACAAAAGCUUAAUGCAGAAUAAUGGUGUGACUGUUGAUGCCGAAUCUAAUCACUUUUCUAGUGCAUCAGACUAACAAUCCAAUUCAAGCAUCCAUGCCUUACUUUGGAGUCAUUCAAGAAAUCUGGGAGCUUGAUUAUAGUGAAUUUAAAAUGGCUAUGUUUAAGUGUAAGUGGAUCAAUGGAAAUUUCGUUGUCUGUCAAGAUGAAUUUGGAUUUACCUUAGUAGACCAAAAUAAGGUGGCUUAUAUGGAUUUCAUUAUGGCCCAACAAGCAUGACAGGUGUUUUACGUCCAAGAUCCUUGCGAUUCAAGAUAUUCAGUGGUUCUACAUGGAAGACCAAGUGGUUUAAAUGACUCACAUGAUGAUUCCAUACUUGACAUUUGUGACACACCACCUUUUUCGACAAAAAUGCCUUCUAUCAAUGACUCACACUACAUUGAUGAUGUACACGCAAAUCGUAAUGAUCAUGAUGAAGGACUAUGGGAAAACAUUAUGACUUAAUUGAACUGUAUGAAAGUAAUGUAAAAAGCUCAUUCCUUUUCUGUUUUGUAAUUUAUUAAUGUUCAUAUUUCCAUUUACCUAAGUACAUGCUAUUUGUUCGUCAUUGUUGACAACAUAUUUGUUUUAUUUUGACAGGGUCAUGGGAACACCACCAACAUCCCCUCCGCAGUCAGAUGUGUAGUCAGAGGCCAUGUCUAGGAAUACUAGACAAUCCACAUGGCUAAGGAGGUUGACUUUAAGAACAUUGGAUCAGCCCAGACCAACUGUCAAUGUUGAUGUUGCAACUGGCCGAGGAUCGAGCCCACAUAAAGAGAAAUUCUAUAUCUAUCUAGGGGUCAUAGCUGGAGAAAAAAUUCCAAUUGUACAUAACACUUGGAAAGAUGUACCAGACUCGCUAAAGGACCUAGUAUGGGAUGACAUUUUGGUAAGUGACAUUAUGAUCAACUGGUAUUUUUUUAUAUGGUAAAAAAGUUGAAAUCUUUCAAAUUAUGCAUUUAUUUCUAAACAAUUUGUUUUGUAGGCGAAAUUUGAUAUCCCAGAAGCCCUGAAUGCAAAGAAAAAGGUGAUGUCCCAUGUGGCCACUAGAUGGAGGCAGUUUAAAUCAUCCCUCACCACUAAAUUUGUCUAUGCUAAUUCUGAGGGGCAACAUAAACAAGAUCCUUCAGUCAAAUAUGGCCUAGAUCCACAAACAUGGGAGGAAUUUGCGACAAGCCGCAAAACCCCUAACUGGCAGGUUAGAUGUACAUGUGAUUGAAUUUUAAUGUCUAUUUCUCAUUAUAAAGGAAAUUUAAUUUGUUUCAUUCGAAUACUAUAUGGUACACGACAGGGAAUCAGGAAGAAGAUGCAGGAAAUCCAAAAAUACAAUGACUGUCCCCAUUUACUUUCCCGUGGGGGAUAUGAUUUGCUUGAAAAGAAACUGUUAGAUGAGAAAAUAAAGAAAAAGGCAACAUGACGCAAUGAUGACAAAGAAUACACCACAAAUUGAGGACCCCCCCAUCUCCCAUUGAAAGACAUGUUAAGUGGAAGUUGGCACGCACUAAGUGAUAUGGGCAAAUGACAUCUCAGGCGGCACAAGAAAUAUCUAAUAAAAUUGUGAGUUGCUAGUUCAAUUUUAAUUACAAUAAUUUUAAUUUUGGAUUAAUUGGUUAUUUGUGUUUUACAUAUAAUUACUAUUACUUGUUAUUUUGUCAACAAUUAUACCUAAGUUGAAGGAUGUGAAUUUUGUGCUUCUUGUAGGACUCGUUGGAAGAACAAAUGACACAGGGUUCAUUUGUCCCCCAUGGUCAUGACGACAUACUUAACACGGCCAUAGGACGAUCAGAUCAUGGAGGUGGAGGUCGUGUUCAUGCAGCAGGGUCUGGGGUCAUAAUAAGUCAAUACUAUGAAAGGACAUCACGUGCCUCCAUCUCCAUCACCCAAGAACAGUUGUGAUGGAAGCUUGCUUGUGGAGCUUCUAUGGAGACUGGAUCUUUGAGCUUCAAUGAGGUCCUUUAAUGGUGAUUUUCCACCAUGGAGAUGCAGCGGAAGACAAAGGAGAAGAGGUAAGAGGCGGCGCCAUCCACUAGGGAAUAAGCCUUGGAAGAAGGAGCUUCACCACCAAGAUGAGCCUUGGAUAAGAAGCUUGGAGAGGAUGCUUCAAUGGAGGAAAAGAAAGAGGGAGAGAAAGAGAGAGGGGGGAGCACGAAAUUGAAGGAAGAAAAAGGGAGAGAAUUUGAACUUUGAGUUGUGUCUCUCAAGACUCUCAUUCAUCAAAGUUACAACAAGUGUUACACAUGCUUCUAUUUAUAGACUAGGUAGCUUCCUUGAGAAGCUUUCUUGAGAAAACUUCCUUAAGAAGCUUCUUUGAGAAAACUUCCUUGAGAAGCUAGAGCUUAGCUACACACACCCCUCUCAUAACUAAGCUCACCUCCUUGAGAAGCUUCCUUAAGAAGAUUCCUAAAGAAGCUAGAGCUUAGCUACACAUACCUCUCUAAUAGCUAAGCUCACCUCCUUGAGAUGAGAAGCUAGAACUUAGCUACACACCCCCUAUAAUAGCUAAGCUCACCCCCAUGACAAAAAACAUGAAAAUACAAAAAAAAAGUCCUUACUACAAAGACUACUCAAAAUGCCCCGAAAUACAAGGCUAAAACCCUAUAGUACUAGAAUGGCCAAAAUACAAGGCCCAAACGAAGGAAAAACCUAUUCUAAUAUUGACAAAGGUAAGCGGGCUCAUACUUAGCCCAUGGGCUUGAAAUAUACCCUAAGGCUCAUGAGAACCCUAGGGCCUUCCCUUGUAUCUCUAGCCCAAUCUACUUGGAGUCUUCUACCCAAUGCCCUUGCGAGAUAGGAUUGCAUCAAGUUGGUUGAAAUCAUAGGAAGCCUUAGGGAACAAGUCAGGAAUGAGAAUGAAGAAGAAAAGAAGCGAAGUCUAGAGACAUGGAAAAAGGAGUUGAAGGAUGCCAUCAUUAUUGAGAUGUCGCAAAGGGGAUCACAGUUCUCAGCACCUACUCAUGUGGAUAUAAAUGUGUUAAGUGCACGCGUGAGCACAAAAGGGAGCAAUGCUAAAACUGGUGUGAACCCAUCUAAGGAAGAACAUGUUGCUCAUGUCACACCGACUAUGGGGUUGUAUGUCCAACAUCAACAUUCUACAUAGCUGGUGUCCUUGGGAAAAAUAUAUGAUGGAGCCUCUACCAUACAUAGCAUGGUGUAUGCAGAUGGUGUCGUAAGGGUUAGGGUUGAAAAAGUUAUUGUCGGUGUAGCUGAAGUCCCAUUGUCGACAUACAAAAUUCAGUAUGUUAGGAAGGCCCUUAACACAUUCAUUGCAUGGCCAACACCUCUUGUAAACCUGGUAUCAGAUGAGGUACUCUCCUUUAUGUUUUCCAAAUUAAUACAUUCGUACAUGUAUAUAAAAAACUUUUUAACAUUAAUGUAAUUAUUAUUUGUUUGCAUCAUAUAGGAUUCAGUCAUUACUCCAAAUAAAGUCACUCAAGCUGUUGAAGGGGUCAAUGAUGUUGCUAUACAUGACCCCUUGCGUGAGUUGAUUAAGAGCCUGAUUGACAUUUAUGGCAAGUCUAUUCAGUUUGUGUGGGAUGUUAGUAAAUUUGGGAUUCCAAAUGUAGAUUCAUCCUUGUUCUUAACAUAUGUUGAUGUCAACAAAAUAACAUCAGGCGACAAAUGUUUGAACAUAGCUAUACUUUAGUUGUGGACCAUGUAAGUAAAAUUCAUUUGUGACUAUUAAAUCCAUAUUGGUUUGCUAUAUAUAUGAUGUUAACUUAUUUUUCCAAAUGUGCAAAUUAGGUAUAUCGAUGAGUGGAGUAAUAGCUUGGGUCAUGUACCGAUGUAUGGAUUCCUUGAGCCUCAAUCCAUACACAAUGCAAAGGACAGACGUGGGCAAUGUUAAGACUAUAUUGAAAAAUGGCUUAAGGAAUCGCACCGACAGGUGUACUUAGGAGCUUAUUUGAAACUGUAAGUAAAAUAUAUUUAGGCUAUGUUGUAAAGAAUGUUUGUGUUAGUCAUACAUAACUGUUGUGUUAAUUGCAGGGCCCAUUGGCAGCUGGUUGUUUUGCGUCUUACAAACAAUGUGGUGGUGUGGUUUUGUUCGUUGCAUAAAAGGUCUGAUGUUAAUAUAAAAACUGCAAUUAACAAGUUAAGUAAUAUAUUUUAAUUCGUUCAAUGUAUUUUAAACAUGGAUACAUAAAUUGUGAGCAUUAUAUUUAUAUGAUAUUAAUCUUUCAAUGCAAUGCAUUUAAGACAUUAAAGACGACUUUUGACGGCAAAGUUGAUCAAACUACACCCUAGUGGAUGGAAGUGAAGGUUAGUCCAAUGUCAAACAAUGUUUGCAAAUGAUAAUGUUAUUAAACAUUUAAAUACAAACAUUGAAUUAUUUUUCCCAUUGAAUGUAGAAUCACUUUCAAAGCAGAGGCUAUGAGUAUAGGUAUUAUGUCAUGCAUUGGAUGUGAAACAUAAUCGGUGGGGAGUUGAAGAAUGAUUGGACUCGGGUAAAUUUUCUAUUCCCAAAAGAUUGACAGGAAAUGGUGAUAUUUUAUUUUAUUUAAACGGAAAUCAUUAAUUGUUUGUUUUUUAACAAUGUGUAGUGGUUCAGUGAUGGCACGCCACUGACACGCAGAUAACGACAACAUUACGUCAAAAUUGGGCAGCAUAUUUUUUAAAACUUAGAACCAUCCAAUGUAGAAAGCUUUAAUUAUAUGAGAUGCGGACAUCCACUUUCGUGUUUUUCAGGUAUUUGUUUAAUUGUUAUAAACAGUUUUGCUGUUGUAAUGAUUAUUAUAUGCUAAUAAAAAUAGAUAUUUGUUCAUUUCAUUUUGGUAUGCAACAAAAGACUUGAGAAUACGCGUUGUAUUUGCAAUCAGUAUUUUUGUGAGUAGGAUAUGUGUUUUUUGUGGAACAGGGGCCCAUCUUUGCAAGUGUUUGGAAACAUGCGGUGUGGAGCAGGAGGCAACAAUAGAGGACAAUGAGAUUGAUGGGUAUAUUUGUUAUAUCCAAAGUUUGAAGCUUUUUUUAAUGAGUGGGUGUCAUCUAAAAUUUGGUAUACACUUGUAGGGAUUGUUCUCAUCUGGUCCUGAAGUGGUUAGGCAGACAUUGGCACAUGGGAACAAGCAUAGGCACGAACAUGGUGGACAUCACCAUGGAAUUGAUCGACAUGGAGCAUCCUAUCCUUGCUUUGAAUAUGACAAUUGUGUCAAUGUUAGUUCACAAAGGGUACUACUAUUACUUAAUAUUUUCUUGUAUGGGCUGAUCCAAAAAUAUUAAUAAUUUACUUGUACUGGGCUAAGGAGGUCCUAGUAUUGCUGAUGCCUAUUCUAGUCACCUAUGUCCAAUGUCACUGUUGUAAAUAUGCUGACUUUGACUAAAAAAAAAAAUAACUACUCUUGUGUUUAUUGUCUACAGAGCACAAGCUUUCACUUCGGAUACUUGAUCCAUUUAUGUCUUGGGUCUUUGAUGCAAUUCUACCCCGCAAGGGCAUUGGAUAGAAGACUCCAAGAAGAUUGGGUCAGAGAUGCAAGAGAAGGCCCUAGGGUUCUCAUGAGCCUUAGGGUAGAUUUCGGGCCCAUGGGCUAAGUAUGAGCCUGCUUAUCUUUGUACAUAUUAUAUUAAGGUUUCAUUAUUUUUUGGCCAUGUAUUUAGGGCUCCAUAAUAUAGAUAAGAUACCCUAGAAAUGUAGGAUUUUUCAGCCCUUGUAUUUUAGGGCACCUCAACUAGAUUUUGUAUUAGGGGUAGUUUUUUAAUUUCACAUGCAUUAAGUGAUUAUUUGAUGUGUGUGGUUGGAAAUAAAUUUAAUUGAAUUGGGAGAAGUCCAAUCCAAUUAAAUUUUAGAGGGGGAGGUGAGCAUUUGCUUGCUACACCCCAUUGCCACAUCAUAUAGUCACACUUUGUGCAUGUCCUUCAUGCUUUACAUGCCUCAUGGCACCUAAGAACACUUAGUGGAGAAUCUUGGACUUGAUCUUGGAUUAGUGGGCUGAACCAUAGCUAAAAUUCACUAAUCAUAAUUAGUGAAAUUUUGGCUCCAAAAUUUGGCUCCACAAAUUCAAUUUCAAGUUCAAGUGAAAUUUGAAUAGAAAUUCAAAUUUCCCUCCAAUUUUGUGUGACACAAAUUUCAUUUGAGAAUAGAGGCCAUAUGUGUGCAUUUUUUCAACUUUGAUCAUUUGAGAAUUACACUUCAAAGUUCAUACCUCUUUUGAGGCACAAAUUUCGUGUUCCUUCUCUCCUUCUCCCUCCAUUCUUCUUCUCCUACCUUCAAGCUCUUAUCCAUGGCUUCCUAUGGUGGUGAGCUUCUUCUUGACUCAUCUUCUCUUUGAAGUGGCAUCUCCAAUCAUCUUUCUUCCUUCUCCAUUCUGCUUCCAAGAUCUUCAAGAAGCAAAGGACUCCAAAGAUGAAGAAGAUCCAAGGCCUACAAGCUCCAAUGGAGCUACAUCAUGUUGUAUCAAGAGCAUCUUCAUCUAGGUGAUAUUCUUUUGCUUCCUCUAUCUUUUUGUUCGGCCAAUUCACUUUAAUUCCUUGUUCUUCAUCUUAUUCUCCAUGUAUAUCCUCCAUUGUCUUGUGGUUUGGUUCGGUUUGGAGUAGAUUCAAAAAAAUAAACCGAUUAAAUCUUAGAUCUACACUUGUUCUUGCAUUUCUAUGGUUCAAAUUUUAUAGAUCUACUCUUGAAUUAUGUUUUUGUGUUGAUUUUAGGUUCUAUCAUUUUUCAGUCAUAAUCUUCUUGUGAUGAACCUUUAGAUCUAAAUUUUCUUCCAAAAUAUUGAUUAGAAAAAAAAACACAAAAAUCUAAGUGUUAAUUAGUUAAUCCUUGUUGUUUUAGAGUCAUGUUUAGUCAUAAUAAUUGUCACAUUAUGUUCUAUGUUUGUGUUAAAUUUUUAUUUUGUUGAUUGAAUUCUAGAUACAUUUGUUCAAGUAUUCUUGUCAUUCUUAGCCUAUAUUUUGAAUUUUGAGUCUAAUAGAUGCAUGUAAUUUAGUUCAUAACAUGUUCUAAAUCAAUUCCUAGAAGUAAUCUUGUUGUUGAACCUUUUUUUUUUGUUUUUAAGUUUCCUACAUGAUGCCUAUGAUGAAGUUGAGUUGUGGUGCUGAGUUGUGGCUGGAUUUGUGAAUCAAAAUAAGUCUUAAGCUCUCUUGAAUUGUUUUAUUCAAGAUAAUUGAGCAUAAGCAAACACAAAUUGUAACUAUCCAAGCCUUAAGCAACAUAAACACUACUCUUGAUUUCUAGGUUGAAAUCGCUGGUGCUGGCAGCUAGAACAUACGUAUUUGUAAAAAUUACUAGGAAUUGGUCACUGCGAAUUUUGAGUUGAAAAUUUUACUGAAAUUUCUAGACAUCUGGAAAAAAUUAUAAAAAAGAACCAAGUGAUUUGGAUAAAAAUAAAAAAUAAUAAAAAUCACACAAGUUGGAAGAAAAAUCAGUGUCCAGGAAAAAAAGUGUAAGGGAAGUGUGCUUGUUGUUUUGGCUUGAAAUUUGUUCUAUAAUUGGUGACUAUUUUAUACAAAUCCUAGUUCUGAAAUUUCAAUUGAAAAUUAUUGUGAAAACAAGUGCCAAAACUAGAGGUUUCUUGAGCCUUUUUUUAUUUUAGUUUUUCUACUCUACUCUAGGGCCAUUCUAGGUUUGUCUUUGAGUCCUAGUUUGCUUUUGUGUGCUUUUCAUUGCAUUAAUUGUUGAAUAAUCCUUGAAAAUUUGUCUUGUUAAAACUCUUUUGGUUUAGCUUUCAUUUCAUUUUUUUGGUCUUUGGUUAUUACUUGUCUCUUUGUUUCCUUGUUUGUGAGUUGCCAUAUAGGGAAUUGGAAAGGAGGAUUGGUGCCAUCCCUUGAAGAAUUUGAGUCAAGAAGCAAGGGGCCAGCCACCUUAAGAGCUAUUGGACUAAGAAGCACUCCAAAUUGAAUGAAUCACCAAAGAGAGAACAACCACCAAAAUUAAGGACCUUUUUGUAAUUUUUUUAAUUGAGAAUUACUUACCUUCAUUGCUUUCAAAUUUUGUAACAAAAAGGCCUUUCAUUGGAAGUAAGUUGGGAGCCUCCAAUAGGUCACCCUACUUCCAUUUGUGUGUAAUAAUUUUAGGCAAUUUUUCCUUAUGAUAGUGAGUGUUUUGUUGGGAACCUUAAAUGAGGUCAUCCAAACACUCUUAGGAUCCGCCUAGUUUACAUUUCUUUCACUUAAAUUUCUUGCUUACUUUCAUAGUUUAUUUUCUUUACUAGCCACACCUAGUUUAUCUUGUUAUUGCAUAGUACUCUCUUCUUUCUUAUCAUGCUUAUCUUGAGUUCUUUUGGAACCUUAGCUUUUACCUUUUUUACAAACCCCCAACAAGAAAGAAGCAUAACUUAGGAACCAACAUGAGUCAUCAUUCAUCUAGUGUUAAUGGCAAGGGUACUAGUCAUAAGGACCCUCUAUUUAGAAUCUUAGAUGAGUUGAGUUCCCUCAAGUUAUGAAAAGAAAAAAUAGAAAGAAAAGAAAAAGGAAAAGAGAGGGUAAAAACAAAUCAAGAUGAGAGGGAACAAAUAAGGGAAGAAGAAAGAAGGAAAAUACUAAAAGAGUUAAGAAAAGAAAAACAUCCCUUCUAUAGUAGUCAUAACUCUUGCAAGAGCCUAAGUGAAGAACUUCGUGACUAUUAUGAAGAAAGACAUAGGUCACAUCUUAGACCUCACUCCCAUAGGAGAGAAAAGGAAAGAAAGCCUCAAGAGGCUAACAUUAACCUCCCAUACUUCCAUGGGAAGGACAAUGUAGAGGCUAACUUAAAUUGGGAAAUAAGGGUAGAGUAACAACUUAAAAGAAAGUCUACUUCAAAAUCUUAUGGCUCUCACUCUUAUCCAAAGCAAGACCAAGGUCAAGGCAUCUUAGGGGUGACACCUUCUAAGCCCUAAGAUGAUAAAGGGAAUACAACGGAAAAGCAACCCCUUAAGGCUAGUAUGCAAGAGAAGACUAGCUCCAUGAAGUGCUUUAAAUGUUUUGGAAGAGGACACAUUACUUCUCAAUGCCCCACCAAGAAAACCAUGAUUAUGAGGGGCCAAGACAUUUAUAGUAGCCAAGAUGAGGCUACUACUUCACCUUCCUCAAGUGAAAGUGAAGAAGCAAAAGGGGAAGAAUCUAGUGAAGAGAUCUACCCCCAAGAAGAAGGACAACCUUUAAUGGUUAAGGAGGAGUGUAAGGAGGUAAGUGUCUCCUUCAAGAGGUUAGUAAGAAGGAAAGAUAUUUUGAAAUAAAUACAAAUAUUAAAGAAAUUUCCCCUCUUAGACAACCUCCACAUUUUCUCCUUUGUAGAAAGACACUUGUUAGCAUUGCCACACCUCUUAGGCUUGAGUUUAUUCCUCAAGUAAAGGAGUUGUUGGAUGAGGGUUUGGUUCACAAGAGCUUAAAUCCUUAUGCUUUGUUGGUGCCCAAAAUAGGUCUUAUUAGGCACCAAAUCCCUAAAAUAGGUGGUAUGAUGAAUGUUUUGAGUGGUGCAACCCUCUUUUGUAAAAUCACUCGUGCACCCAACAUCUUCAUGAUUUGUGUACAUAGGGACUCAUUAGGUAGGUUUGUUCUUAUUUUUAAUUUCAAUACAAACUUAGGUACUCAUAUGGGACACCUUAAGUUUGUCAUACUUUUUGGUAGGAAUAAUCAACAUGAAAAUACAAAAAAAGGUAUGUUUUAUUGCAUUACUUUUCUUAAUUUUUUAAAUAGUGAUCAAGGGAUUCCCAUGUACCCUAAGAGAAUAAAGGUUAUUCCUGAGUGGCCCACUCCACCAAGUAUAAGAAAAAUUUGGGGCUUCCAUGACUUAACAAACUUUUACAAAAGGUUUUUCCCAUAUUUUUCUAUACUUGUAGUACCACUCAUUGAGUUGGUGAGGAACCAUGUUCCUUCAUGGGAAGAUGCCCAAGAAAUGAGUUUUCAGACCUUACCUUACUUCAACAUACCAAAACCCACUUAUACAUAUGUUCUUGUUCUUUUUACAGGUGUUGAGGAAAAAAGCCCAGAGUUUCAAGAACCUUGGGAUUUGAGGUCAAAUCCUUUUCAAGGGGGAGGGAAUGAUGCAAUCCUACCCUGCAAGGGCAUUGGAUAGAAGACUCCAAGAAGAUUGGGCCAGAGAUGCAAGAGAAGACCCUAGGGUUCUCAUGAGCCUUAGGGUAGAUUUUAGGCACAUAGGCUAAGUAUGAGCCCCCUUAUCUUUGUACAUAUUAGAUUAAGGUUUCAUUAUUUUUUGACCAUGUAUUUAGGGCUCCAUAAUAUAGGUAAGGUACCCUAGAAAUGUAGGAUUUUUUAGCCCUUCUAUUUUAGGGCACCUAGACUAGUUUUUGUAUUACGGGUAGUUUUGUAAUUUCACAUGCAUUAAGUGAUUAUUUGAUGUGUGUGGUUGGAAAUAAAUUUAAUUGAAUUGGGAGAAGCCCAAUCCAAUUAAAUUUAGAGGGGGAGGUGAGCAUUUGCUUGCUACACCUCAUUGCCACAUCAUAUAGUCACACUUUGUGCAUGUCCUUCAUGCUUUACAUGCCUCAUGACAUCUAAGCACACUUAGUGGAGAAUCUUGGACUUGAUCUUGGAUUAGUGGGCUGAACCAUAGCGAAAAUUCGCUAAAAUUCACUAAUCAUAAUUACUGAAAUUUUGGCUCCACAAAUUUAAUUUCAAAUUCAAGUGAAUUCAAAUUUCCCUCCAAUUUUGUGUGACACUUAGGCUAUAAAUAAAGGCCAUGUGUGUGCAUUUUUUCAACUUUAAUCAUUUGAGAAUUACACUUCAAAGUUUAGACCACUUUUGAGGCACAAAUUUCGUGCUCCCUCUCUCCUUCUCUCUACAUUCUUUUUCUCCCACCUUCAAGCUCUUAUCCAUGGCUUCCUAUGGUGGUGAGCUUCUUCUUGACGCAUCUUUUCCUUGAAGUGGCGUCUCCAAUCAUCUUUCUUCCUUCUCCAUUUCGCUACCAUGAUCUUCAAGAAGCAAAGGACUUCAUUGAUAAGGAAGAUACAAGGCCUACAAGCUCCAAUGGAGCUACAUCAGUCUUGCUUAGGUUCACUAAUAAUAGAUUUUCAUGUCUAUGUUAGGAGGGUCUAUUCUUGGAGUGAAGCUUGUAGAUCCCCUUGCAGGACUUUUUCUUGUUCCAUAUUGACCAAAACAAUACAUUUUGAAAAAUAUUAAACAAACCUGUGCUACACAUAGAUGACAUGUGUUGGAUACCUACAAAUUAUAUUAUGUAUUGAAACAAAGGUCAUUUUUAUACUCUGAAUCCUUAAUAUAACCUCUUAUACCCUUUUCUUUAAAAUUUACUUAGCGAGUAUUUUUUUUCCAGUGAUCAAGAUGAUUAUGAGGUUGUACAAAAAGUGGGCAGGGGGAAAUAUAGUGAAGUUUUUGAAAGCAUAAAUAUCAAUAGAAAUGAGCGCUGUAUAAUCAAGAUUCUGAAACCUGUCAAGAAAAAAAAGGUACUCCUUUCUUUGUCUUGUUUUUAUCCUUAGUUUUACUCAGUACCUGCAGACUGUGAAUUAAGCCAAGCAAUGAUGCUUUAGCAGAACCAUUCUCUUAAAAUCUACGAAAUAAUGGACAUAACAAAUUUCUCACACAAUCCUUAUUCCUUAAUCAUUUUUGUAAGGUAUUGGUCACCAUAUUGUACAACAAUCAUUUCCAAAAAAGUGUAACUUAAACAUUAUUACGAGAUGUUAAACAUAUGACAAAGUAUAAAUCAGUUUUUAACAUAAAGAAUAUGGCAUAAUACUUCUAAGUUUUAUCAAUAAAUAAAUAUAAUGACAUGAUAUUCAACAUUGAUAUGAUAACGAUUUAAUUAUAUAGCAUGGCAGAAGAGACCACAAUAUAGGGUCUUAGGUGAGAAUUGGAGCUUCAAGCUAGAUCAAUUUUCUUGAAAAAAGCAAGUGCCAUUGUAAAAUAUCUAGAGGAGUGGUUGAGGCAUGUCUCAACUUAUUCUUUAGACACACACACACACACACUGUUCGCUUCCGGCAAGUGCACCGGAUCGCACAAGUAGUAUAAAAUGGUAAGAAACGAGUAUCAAACUCUCGGGAAACUUGUGUUACUUGGUAAGCUAUUUCAGUAAAUAGGUGUCUGGUGUGAAAAUCUAAGUGUGAAUAUGAACAGGUAUGUAAACUAUCUAUGCAAAAAGGAAAAUCACGCGAGAGAAAUGAUGUGUAAAAACAAGUAGAAAACGCGUUGGUCUUCCUAAUAGGUGCCUGAUGCUAAAAGGAUAUUCUCUAUCUAACAAUGCUCAUGUGUUCCUAUGGUGUCUCCUGAGAUGCUAAACCCCGAUUCCUCAUGAUAGUUUAGCCUAAUCCUGAUCAAGCAUCAUCCUCAGAUUCCUCUUGUUGGACAAAACUCAACCAGGACCGCAUUAAGACAAACAUACUACAACUAAAUUAUCUCACCCCGAUUCCUCGUGAUAGUACAAUAACUUAGUCCUGUCCUAUCAAGGUCAUGAGAAUCAGACCAAUUUCCAUUGUUGAAUGACCCUAACAAAGCAUGCAUCUACGAGAUCAAGGUAAAGGCAUACUAUAAUGAAAAGCUGAUAGCACAGAGAACACACAAAAACAUCAUUAAAUAGAUAAAAAGAUAUUUACAUCAAGUACCUAUAGGGAAGAUCCAAUAGAGGAUUUUAGCUUUCCAUAACCAGGAAGCCUCCUUUACAACAAAGAGAAGAACAAGAUGAAAGAUUGCAAAAAUACAAGUGGUGAGGAUGUCUCAUUCACCUCUAGGAUCUCAAAACCACUCACAAACUCAUCUCAAGCUCUCAGAACAGCUUCCUCUUCAAGCUCUGGUCUCUACAGAUAUUCACACAGCAAAAUCUCUCAAAACUCUCUGGAACUUAGACCUUCCUUUCUCUCUCUAGAAUCACUAGACAUGCAAAGCUUCAGCUCUCCGCCCAAACUACCUUAAAAAAAUAUGAUUUAAGGCUUAAAUAGGUGGCCUUGUUCGUGCUCGUGCGCUUAGCGCAAUUCUGGACCGCUUAGUGCACAUUAGUGAAUUUUGGCUUAGCGUGUGCCUUUCUCGCUUAGCAGAUGGACUGAAGCGGUGCGCUUAGUGAGAUGAAGCGGUGCACUUAGCGAACCUAUACAGCUCAUCUUCUUCCAGAUUCUUCCUUGCGCUUAGCCAAUGAGUGUUGCGCUUAGCGGACGCUCGCUAAGCCAGCGGAUUGGCUUAGCGAGAAGGUGAAAAACACCACUUUUCAAAGCUUGCCUAAUUAACCUGAAAUUGAGAGGAAAUGAUUAUUAAACACACAAAAUAGAAUUACUAAGUAUUUGUUACCUAUCUUUAACUAAAAGAACUUAUAGCACUACAAAAUAACCAUAAAUUGAAGGAGUUUAAUACAAUUUACAUAAGUUUUAUACACAAAAGUUAGUUGUAUUCAUCGACUAACACACACACACACAAUGUAAGUGAAAAUCACUAUUACACCAUUAAGUAGCUUCUUACUGGAUCAUUUUAUCCCAAAAUCCACCAUUGGAUAGAAAUGUCUUGUCAUAGACAUCAUGUGUAUAAAGUUUUCCAUUAAUCCAAAUUUUUGUGGUACUUUAUUAAUAUACAAUUAAAUAUUAAGAUUAACAUAGUAUAUUAGAAUCAUUUUAUUAUUUUUAUUGUUCAAUUUAUAUGAGAUUUUGACACAAAUAAAUAAGGUAAUGGAUAAAUAUAAGAGUUUAAUGAUUAUGCAAUAUGGGUACACUACAAGGAAGAGAAACUAGCUAGUAAGAAAUUAUUGUCAGUGAAUAUGGUCUCAAUUGUGGAAGCAAUGACUUCCAAGAUUAUUUAGAUGAUGCCAAAGAAUCAAGAGUUAAGCAAAUUCCAAUGUUUCAAGAAUCAAGAUUCAAGAAUAAUCAAGAUCAAGAUUCAAGAAUCAAGAGAAGACUCAAUCAAGAUAAGUACCAAAUUUUUUUUUCAAAACAUUGAGUAGCACAAGAAGUUUUCACAAAAUCAUUACCAAAGAGUUUUACUCUCUGGUAAUCGAUUACCAGAAGGUAGUAAUCGAUUACCAGUAGCCAACAUUGUUUUCAAAACUGAUUUACAAAGCUGUAAUCGAUUACCAUGAGCAUGUAAUCGAUUACCAAUGUUUUAAAACAUUAGAUUUCAAAUUUCAAGAGUCACAACUAGUGAUAAAACUUUUUAAAUCAUUUUAAACUUGUGUAAUCGAUUACACAAUACUUGUAAUCGAUUACCAGAGCUUCUAAACAUUUUGAUUUUCAAAAUUUAAAUAUGAAGAGUCACAUUUGUUGAUGUGUAAUCGAUUACACCUUAAUGGUAAUCGAUUACCAGUGGCUGAUUUCGAAAAAUAAAUUUCCAAAAGUCACAAUUCUUAAAGUGACUUGUUUCUGAAGAUUUUUUCAAAAGUCACAACAAGUUUUUGAUUCAGAAAUUUCUGAUUCAUUCCUCAACUUCUUUCUAAGAGUUUUUUGUUCAAUCCUUUCUCUUUCAAGAAAAUUUCUUUGAUCAAAAACUUGUGCUGUUCUUCUUCAUUCACUUCUUCCUUUGCCAAAAGAAUAGAAGGACUAAUUGCCUGAAUUCUUUUGUGUCUCCCUUCUCUCUUCCAAGAGAAUUCAAAGGACUAACCGCCUGAGAUAUCUUUUGUUUCCCCUUACAAAGAUUCAAAGGACUAACCGUCUGAGAAUUCUUUGUCCCAACACAUUGGAGGGUACAUCCUUUGUGGUACAAGUAGAGGGUACAUCUACUUGGGGGUUGUUAUACUGAGAACAAGAGAGGGUACAUCUCUUGUGGAUUAGUUCAAGUGGAGGGUACAUCCACUUGGUUAUUCAAAGAGAACAAGGGAGGUUACAUCCCUUGUGGAUCUUUGGCUUGUAAAGGAUUUUACAAGGUUGAAAGAAAUCUCAAGAACCGGUUGCUUGCUUGGGGACUGGAUGUAGGCACAGGUUGUGACCAAACCAGUAUAAAUCUUGUGUUUGUCUUCUUCUUCCCUACACUCUUUAAUUUCCACUGUGUUCUUUUAUUUCCGCUUUACUUUUGUCUAAGUUAUUGUCUUUGUUCUUUACAUCCUCACAACUUAGUAGUAAAGCCUAAUAAAAGCUAGUAACAUUAAGAAGGUUAAAUUUUUAAUUAGUCAAGACACAUUAAUAAUUAAUUCAACCCCCCCCCUUUUUAAUUAUUCUGAGGCCACUUAUCAAACAAGUUACUUUAUACAUGGUAAUGGAACAGGUUUCAAAUUGGUUCAUUAAUGCUAGAGUUCGGCUUUGGCUGCCAAUGAUGGAGGAAAUGUACUCAGAGGAGAUGAAAGAGCAUGAACUAAAUGGUUUUGAGGAGAAAUCAACCAAGAGUGGUAAAGAUCCUGCUACAAAAACCACAAGUCCACAAGAGAAACGUACUUCCUCUGAAAUUGAAUCCAAAAGUUUCAAUUCCAAACAAGAUGUUUCCAAACAAAGCUAGAACACUCCAAUUCGUUCAACUUCUCCACCAUCAAUAUCACUUAUAGGGGGAAGUGUUAAGAACCAAUCAGGAUUCAGUUUCAUGGGGUCAUGAGAACUAGAUGGAAUCACACAAGGAAGUUGUAAAAAACCAAGGAACAAUGAAAUUCUUCACUCUCCAAACCAUGAACUUCAAUCAACAUGGAUGUGAAAGCCAACGAAGCAAACAAUGACCAACAACUCUGAAUGAAUCACGAGAGGCAUAAUAAUAGGGACAUGUACUCCUUCAUGGGGAACCAAACAAACUUCAUUAGUGGCUUUGGACAAUACCCUAUUAAGGAAAUUGGUAGGUUUGAUGUUGAGAAAUUCACACCAAGGUUUUAAGGUAAGAGUGGAGUUUCCCUUACUGUUGGUCUUCCUCAUUGUGACACAUUGUCAGGAACACACCAAAGUUUUCUUGCAAACCAAAACAUUUAACUAGGAAGAGGGUUGGAGUUGGUGAACCAAACCAGUUUGGUGCCUUGAACAAUUCCAAUUCUCACAAUUCAGCAACAUUUGAGAUUAUUAACAUGCAGAACCUGAAGAGGUUUGCUGCACAAUUACUGCCAAGUUCACACUCAACACCUGCCCAUGGAGUAUCACUGCAUGGCUUUGGAUGUGGUUGGGCCCAGUAUGGGUCUUCUAGAAGAGCAUCCAUCACUUCAAACAAUCCCAACAGUUCAUCCUCUUCCAUUGCCAUGUGCCCCUUUCAUUAUUUCCCAUUGACAUCAUUUCACUAGGAAAAAAGAGGAACCAAAGAAGAAUAAGAGACACGGAUGCCAUUAAUUUCAGAAAGUGCCUAGCUACUUCCAAAUUCCAAUUCCAACAACUCAGCCACAAAUGGAAUUGCGAAAAUUGGAUUUCGAGGUAACUGAAAAAGGCUUUGUUCCUCUUUCCCUAUUUAAGCUCUCUUGAGUCUUGAAUUAUGGAAAAGGAGAACAAUGUAAAGGUAACUCAAGAUUCAAUUUUUGUGUCACAUAACUGCUAAAGGUUGCAAAGAAAAACCAGAGCUGUUGCUGUUACCUCUCCCAAGAUUGUGUUGACUGAGUAUGAAUGUUAUUUUGCAUGGAAAAGGGUGUGAGAUGAAAUAGGUAGACAAUUGGGCUACCAUAAACGAAGUAUGACUGUUAUUUUAUGAUUUAUGCUUAAAAUUUUUCCAGGUUGCUGCAGUUCCUGAGGAUGUGGGGACAGCGGGUGCAAUUAAGGCCAUUUCACAUCACCUAACUGCUAAAAACAUUUUGGUGGAAUAUCCCCCCUCCCCUGCCCUUGUAUCCUGCGAUUUAAAAAAUGUUGUUCUUUAUUUAAGUGUAGAUUUUCUGCAGGUUGUCAGUGGUGAUCUUGUAACUUAAGUUCCACUUGGUGUUGUUGCAACUAAUCAUAGACGACAUGCUAUGCU